Molecule: long non-coding RNA, 52147 nt
Filed under: Coffea arabica (coffee)
Lineage: Eukaryota; Viridiplantae; Streptophyta; Magnoliopsida; Gentianales; Rubiaceae
Description: long non-coding RNA (CARA_LNC004338)
Source: RNAcentral
UUUCAGAUAAAACCAUGUUCAUUUUUAUCAUCAGCAGUUAAAUUAUUGCACCAAAAGAAUACAAGAAAUUGUUGUUGUAAUAGAAUCAUAUGGUGGUCUGCUUUUAGACAAUAUGAGCGCAUUCUCAACAUUUCAGUGCAAUGAUCCAGCUAAAUUACUGCAAUUCAUAUCAUAAUUCUAUCCAUUCCUAUUUGCUACCACUCAUUAAACACAUCUAUAAUAUUUAGAAGAUUCAAAUAUCCAAUGUCCUUUCACGUAUAGGUUGGUUAUACAUCCUCUCCCCCUUUACAUAUUCCCUUACAAAAUAUCUAUACUUUUAGAUACUUCAUUGGUUUUAUGUUCAUACAAGCAGAUAUAUAUAUAUCAUAUGCCUCUUCAAUCCCCACCAAAACAGAGAGUUUCUUUUCUUCUUAUGAGAAAGAAACAAGUUUAUUUCAAGUAGGUUUUCUGCACCAUGACUAUUAGGUUCAUUUAUCUAUAUCAUAUGUAUAGGUGCCAUGGAACUACUUAAGCUGCAGCCACACCAGCAAAAAACUGCAUCGGACCGGAGCAUGGCGAGGCCGAGUACUCGAGGGGCUUCACCGUUCCAGAAACACACUUUUCUUUGUGUUCGUCGAUGGAGAUCUGCUGAUAUCGACACUCGGCGCUGCAAAAUGCCUUCUCUCCUCUGCACAGCAACGAGAUGCAAAAUAUGACACUAGAAAGAAGUGCUUUUUUUUUUUUUUUUGCUUUGCUUUAGAAAUGUAACAUAAAAUGUGCUCCAUAAAAAUCCUGUCAAGAGUUGACUGAAAAGCUGAUAUUUGAAGGAAACAGCUAAUGAUUCUCGAAAUACUUCGAAUCAGCUAGCUGAGAUCUUUCCACCAGGGCUAGAUUCGAAUGCAGACAACCAGUCAUGGAAUUAUAUGAAAAGACAAAAGAGUAAGGACAAUAUAAUUGACAAGGAGAAUUGAGUAGGACAAAAACAGGAAAGGCCACACCAAGAACAAGUGGAAGGAGGGUGUAAGACAACUUAGUCUCAGCUUCCAAAAUGUGGAGAUGUUUAACCAUUGCCCUAUGAAAUAUCUAACGUGAAAAUCUAAGGGAAAAUUAGUAACAUUGAAAAUGACAUGAAAACACCUAACAACUAGCAAAGGCAAAUUGCAGCUUGCUGCUAUCCAUCAAUUGACAGCAACAGAACAUGGUUUACACUUGCAGAAAGUUAAAGUGAAGUAAGAUACACUUCAGAAACUUUCAUUCACCCUACUUGCAACAGUUUUCAUUAACAGGCACUCUUUAACACCAAUCUUCUUAGCAGAGAUAAUCCAACUACUACUUCACCUUUCUUUAGAACUUAAAAAGAUUAGCAGUGAUAAAAGAAAUGGCAUCAUCAAUGUACUUGAGUAAGUUUUGAACAAGUGACAGCUAGAGGAACAUAGCUUGGGUGCGUAGAUGAAGUGAGCUGCUGCACAAAAUAUUCAUGACAAUUGAUACCUUGCUUAAGAAAUUUUUUAACCCUAGCGUUGACUUGCGAAUUUAGGAUGAUGUAAAGAACAGCAAGGCACAAUGAAAACCAUUUCUUGAAAAAACACAAAGAUCAUUGCUUGUUUCUAAUGGACAAAACAUGCCAGCAGUUGAGACUCUUCUGAACUAAGUUCCACCAGAAGAUAAGAAAGAAGAUGGCAGAACAAGCACCCAAGCACUUCAUAGACUACUAGUAUUUAGAAGAAUUUAUUCUGUGCUUUGUAGACAGCUUAAGCAACAGCAAAACAGCUCAAAUCUUAACAAUUUGCACAAGGAGAUGAACCGUGUAUAGGCAGAAUCAAUUGCCUUUAGAAAUGAGAAAGAAAUUUGGCAAAAAUAUACAGGUCAAAAAACUUAUAAAAAUCAGAAAAACAAUCCAAUCUUUUUUUCUAGCUCAUUGACCAAGUAUGCAAGAAGUGCUCUGGAAGUUAAAAUUAUAAUUGGGGAACAACAAUGGAAGAAUUUCAAUUAACAAAGGAAAAAAAAAAGAGAAGAAGAUAUAGGUAAACUGCCAGAUUGCUAAAAGAAUCCUACAUAACAUUUAAAUUGAACAACUUUCAUCUCCAAUUGACGCAAUGUAUAUUUUUAGACAUUUUUCUUCAACUCAAGGUAGCAGUCGGAUUUAAGAUUUACAUACACUUAUUUGACUUAGCUACCCUUUUGAGAACAAAGGAAAGUAUUCAUUGUUCAACCAACUAAUUAAUAUAUAACCAUAUAUGUUGAGCAGAGCAAUCCCAUAAAUGCAUAUCACCAACUAACAGAGCCAACACGCAGCCACAACUUUAACAUCAGAUUAGAAGCAAACAUGAAUCUGGAUGCAAAAGCAAAUUAGAAAAAUCUGUUGCAACUGACAGCAGGUAUUAUACAGAACAACAGUUUCAGUAACUAAGAGGUCAGAUCAAAAGUGGGUCAGAAUGCAGACAACUUAUACUGAGAAAAACCAACUUGUUAUUCUGAAGUGAAUCUAUUAUUAGCAAGAUAUCAGGGCCACAGAUAGUAACAAAUGAUCAAAGCUGGCCCAUGAAUUACUUGGUCAAUCAACUCAAUAAUUCUCAAGGCUCCACAUACCAAUCAAUAAACUCAGAGUACUGGCCUUACACAAAGCAUUUCCAUUAAACCAUCAUAACCUUCUAUUCGUGAAGUUCUUGAGUACAAUUAAAAUUUGAAACUAACACUGAAAAAUCCAGAUCAAGAUCUUUAUCUGAAAACCUCUGAACUUCGUAUUGGAAAUUCAUUACCGUUGAUUGUUUCUAAAUUGUGCCUCAAGCUUAUAAUUAAGACGUAUCUACCAUUGCAUAGUUCGUAAUGGUAGAUAAAAACCUUGAAAAAAAACAUAAAAGACACUCGAAAAUCUUUUUAAAAAACUAGGUUAUUUUUAGGAUCUUCCAAAAAAUGUAGACAAAUCACCAAUAAAAAGCACAAAAACAUUCAAGUUUGCACUUCAAGCGAAAAAAAAAAAGAAGGUAGGAUGAAAGACCAAUCAAGAAUCCAAAAGCAGACUAAAACAUUAAUAUUCAAACAAGCUUCCAGAUUCAAAAUCAUCAAUCACGCAUAAAACAAACACAUACCAGAAGGAAAAAGCAAAACAUACAAAUAGCAUAUACCAAUCCCACUGUGCAGAUAAAACAUAAAGAUAGAGAACAAGUAAAUCUGAUCAGUAUCUACCUGUACAUGAAAAUGUCCAACCCAUGAAGCUGCUUUUUGCAAAGAAAGCAAGAAUUGAGAAACUCAGCAUACGGAAAAGCUGCUACUGGGACUUCACCAGCAUGACUAACUGCAGAGGAAGCAGAAACCACCUCAGAACUCACCCAGUGACCGAUACUAGCAUUACUGAUAUUCUCAGCGUUGCUAAUGAUAGCAUCAGUACUAUUUCUAUUACGCAAGAAACCACCAUCAUCAAAGUACUCUUUUUUCUUGAUUUGAUUAUCCCCAACAUGAGAUAUCACACAAGUAUACUCCUCACACAACUCCAUUUCUUCAAUACUUAGCCUCCUCUUAGUAACACCGCCAGUAUUAAUAGUAGUGCUUUUAUCACUACUACUUUUAGCUGAUGACAAAGAAGUGAACUUUUUGUUGCUGAGAAUUGAGAUUGGAUUUGAUAACGAUCUUGGUGAGAUUGCAAGAAUUGCAGCCCUCUUAAAAAAGGGAUCUUGAGAACAAUACUCAUCCUUCAAAGCUGCAAGAAUACCAAGGCCAACAACCCCGUUUGGCUCUUCAAAGUUCCUGGGAGAUUUGACUGGUAAUUUUGUUGUUGGGGUUUCAGAACUGGAAAAGGUGAAAAGGGAUAGAUUGAUGGACAGUUUCUUGGUUUUGGUAUUCUUCACGUUGUUAGCCAUUUAUGUACACUCUACUUUCUUGGUCACACACACAAGCAGAGAGAGAGAGAGAGAGAUUUUUUGUGUGUUUCUGUUUUGUUGAAUAAAUCCCUCUUUCUCCCUCCCUCACAGAAUCACACAACCAGAAUUUUUAUCUGUUUCUGAGACUGAUAAUAGUCUAAUCACGAUUGGAUUUUUUAUUUUCCAAGUUGUUUGCUCAAAUGGAAGUGGGAAAGAGUGAGGCGCUGAGGAACAGAUGAUGGUACUGGUGAUGGUGGAGGAAGGGGAGGUGGUGGUGGUGGAUGGAGGAGGGGUGGUGGCAGUGGAAGGGAGGAGGGGCAGUGAGGAGGAGAAGAAAGUGGCAAUGGGCUUUAAUGGAAGAAGAAGACCACCACCAGUUUCUUCACUCCCUCCUGUGUCUCUUUAAAAAGUAAAAACCUGUGAUUUUCAGGUCCCCACAACCCACACCCCACCAAAAACCAAGCAAUAAGUAUUAAAAAAAAAGGAAUAAAAUGAAGUACAGUUUACAAAUACUCUAGUUUAUGGAUUUAACUCAGUAAUCUUCAAGAUUGGAACAUUUUAAUUGAAAUGUUCUACUAAGAUCAAAUAGCUUAUUAUAUUGCACAUUGAAAGCAUUUUAGUGCCUUCUAUCCUUCAUCUUUUGAAUUAGUUACUCUAGACAGAAUUUAAGGAUUUUUUUAGUAGAAUUGGUUUAAUGAUUAAAGUUGAAAUCCAAUUUAGAGGUUCUGAAUUUAAAUCCCUCCUUACAUUACAUAUUUUUUAAAUUCCAUCAUUCUCAUACUAAAAAAAAUUAAAAAGAAACUGCAUAAUUGAUGCAAAGAUUUUGAAUUGUCAAAUCAAUUAGAGAACUUGAAAACAAUAAUAGGAAACAUAUAAAACAACUGCACAUUGAUGUCUCCUACAUAGCAAAUGUAACAAAAUUUUAAACCAAUAAUGAGUUUGGAAAUAAGAUUUUUUAGAAAAGUUGUUUCAAAUGAAACUAUAAUGCUUUUUGUAAUGUGAUGUAUGUGAAAUAAAAAAAAUAUUUAAGAAAUAUAUAUGUAACAUACAAGUGAAACAAAAUACGCAUCAUAAAAGUAAAGCGUAAGGAAUGUGUGAAAUCAAGAUCCGAUGGCUAGGGAGAGACCCUUUAAAACUCUUUCAUAUACUAGGUCGGGGGUUCCUACCCUAAUACAUUACACAAGAAAUUUCUUGUUUUUAACAAAUCAAGAGAGCGCAAUAGUGCACUUGUCCGGAAUACUUUUAUCUAAUAUAUAUUAUAGCCAAAUAUAGAUUAUGUUUUAUACAUUUACAACAAAAUAUUCAUUUCUUUUGUAUAAAGAAAUGAAUUUAGAUGCUUACCAUAUAAUUUUGGUAACAAUAUUAGUCCCUUUAUUUAUUUAUUUAUUUAUUUUUUGCAUUUACCACGCUUCUAGGCUUGUUCAUGGAAAGAAGGGUGUCCUAUGAAUAGAUAAGAGAUUAAUCUGUAAAAUAGAUGAAGAAUCUACAUCAAACAAUUUAUGAAACUAAAUGUCUAAAUCUAUUUCAUCACUCCCAUAUAUUGAUACUGAAAUGGCUAAUAUACCUUAGAACAUCUUAGCUGGUGGAAGAGUAUGCUUCAAAGCUUUGUGAAUUCUUUUUUUGAAGUGUUGCAAUCAAUUAUAGUUUAUCAUACCAACUAAAACGGAUUCGGCAUUAAUCAAUUGAUACAUCUUCAAACUACGAAAGCUCCCCAAAGAUAAAGAUAUUGAAUAAUUGACACAAUGUUUAAUGUGUAAUUCAAAGUAUAGUUUUCUAGGCUUUACCACAUAAUUGGAGCAAUCAAAUCAUUUUUUUUACGUUUUAUCGUACUUUCUUCAUAAGAAAUUAAACUUCCGAAUGCAAAACUAAUUCAAAUCGAAUUGUAUAAGAUUUACAUAACAAAAAUGGCAAAUCGUGAUUGCAAUAGUUAUAGGUUGGAUUAUGUUACUACUUACUAUGACUAUUGUGCUCCACUGGAAAUCUCCAUGGGGAAUUCAUAGCACAAAUAUAAGAAGUAAAAUAAAUUAUAAACUAGCCAUAAACUUUCUACUCUCAAGAAUUUUAUGUCUUGGUUUUCGGUCAUUUGUCAUAUGAUAUCAAUGGAGAUGGCCUUUUUUUAUAUUGCAACUUAGAAAAGUUACAAAUGUCAAAAGUGUCAACAAGACCCCAAUCAAUUGAUAUUAUCGUAUGGUAAAGCACAAAAUGAGAAAUAAUAAAGUGAAAAUGAAAAAUUAAAAUCCGUAUACAUCGAUUAAGAGGUCAUACCAUAUAAAAAAUUUGGAUUCCAUAUCAUACUGAGACAAAUUUCAAGGAUAAAAGCAAAAAGCAAAGAAAAAUAAAAAAUAAAGACACUCUUCUGUAUGUAUGUGCUUUUGUAUAUGUUGUUGUGUAUCUUUGAUUUAUAUUUGUAAACAAGGGCAAGUUGUUAUUUCUAUGUGCUAGGAUUUUAAUAUGGAUUAAUUUUGUAUAUACUGACAGUGUAUAUAAUUUCAUCAUUAAAUACAUGACACAUAAUUUGAAUUUAAAUUUUACAUAUGUAUCAUAUGUGAUAGUGUAUACACGGUUGGUAUAUAUAAGAUUAACUUUUUUAAAAUUCAAUAUCCCUGGUCUUUUGACUUGUUUACUAAAAUCCAUCUUUAUUGAAGCUAUAUACGUGUAUAAAACUAUAUGUUGACUUAAUGCAUGGUCCCAAAAAGUCUUGAUGAUUAUUUGGUAAAUGUUUCUAUCCAAGAAAUGUUACAUUAAUUUCCACAAGUAAAAGGCCCAUUUGGAGAAAACAAACAAAAUAGUUGUCACUCUUACUUAAGGGAGAUUAAGAUAGUUUUGGCAAAUAAUUAAAAUAUUCAAAGUAAUAUGUAUAAAAGUCAAGUAAGAAAUAGUGUUCAAAGGAUAUGUAAUAGUGUAUUCAUUUGAUCUAGAGGUGGGAACUACUCCUUUUAAUUCCUCUUGACCCAAUUGGAUCCUCCUCUAAAUAGGUUAGAAUAGGAGUGGAGUAAAAGUAUGGUAGGCGUUAACAAUUGCCAAAAAAAAAACUUCAAUAACGAGAUUAAAACUUUUCUACCUCUCCCUCACCCUACUCUUCUUUCUCCAUAGGAGAGAGAUCUUGGUCUUAAGCCAAGGUCUCCCUCCUCUUCCUUUAUUCUCCCUUCUUCUUUGUUCUUACUUUUAUUUAAUAAACUUUCUCUUAGGGAAGCCAAGGUCUCCCUUCCUCUUCCUUUAUUCUCCCUUUUUCUUUGUUCUUACUUUUAUUUAAUAAACUUUCUCUUAGGGUAUCUUAGUGAGAGCUUUUUUCUCUCCCAAUUAUCAUGGUAAGGGUUUUGUUUAGUUUUUGGGAAAAUCGUUUAAAACGUCCCUUACAUUUUACAAAACAACUUUUUUCAUCUCUCACUUUUAAAAAUGUAAUUUUACGUCCCUUACAAAUUCACAUUGGCCAAAUUUGGUCCCUACUUAGGUUUUCGACUAGUUUUUUAUCGGAAUUUACCACAUGCCUUGCAUGUGAUCAUAUUUUAAUGGCAAAAUUGUCAAAUCAAAUUUUAUAUAAUUCGAUUCAUAAUCUCUCACAUUUCAUAAAAUAAAAUUUUUCGUCCCUUACAUUUUACAAAACAACUUUUUUCAUCUCUCACUUUUAAAAAUGUAAUUUUACGUCCCUUACAAAUUCACAUUAGCCAAAUUUGGUCCCUACUUAGGUUUUCGAUUAGUUUUUUAUCGGAAUUCACCACGUGCCUUGCAUGUGAUUAUAUUUAAUGGCAAAAUUGUCAAAUCAAAUUUUAUAUAAUUCGAUUCAUAAUCCCUCACAUUUCAUAAAAUAAAUUUUUUCGUCCCUUACAUUUCACAAAAUGAAUUUUUUUAUCCUUCACCUUUUUUAAAAUGAAUUUUUUCAUCUUUUAUUGAUCAUGUGUGUGAAUAAAUUUUUUUUUUAAAUCCAUGUAUAUAUCUGUUUGAUUUCACCUGAACAGUACAAACAUCAUGUGAAAUCAAAUAGAGAUAUAUUACAUACUAUUCGUACUGCUCAAGUGAAAUCAAAUAGAUAUAUACAUGGGUUUAAAAAAAUUGUUAGUUUUUCACUUAUAUUCAUUUUCUUUUACUCGAAAUUUGAAAAUAAAGAAGACAUUUAAUCAUAAAUAUUAUUGAGUGUUUAUAUCGUAUUAAAUUUGGAUAGAAAAAAAUAAACAAAAGAAAAAUGUGACAAAAAGAAAUAAGUGAUUGGCAUUUUCAAAUUUUAAGAUAAUCACAAGGCAAGUAAUUCAACUGUUGGUCUUAAAAGUAUCGAGUAGAGAUUUCAUAUUUAAACUGAAAUUUGUUAGCACAAUUAUAGAAUUCGAGUUAUGACCCAUUAAUUAGAUGACCUUAUUAUACAAUUCAAUAAAUAAAUUAUUAUCAAAAGAGAAAUGUCACAAAUAUUGAAUAUGUUUAAAUGGUGAAAUCAUAUAAAUAUAUACUUGGGUCUCAAACAAAAUUAUUAGUUUUAAACCCCUAUAUAUAUCUAUUGAAUAGCAUGUGUAUAACUACGAUUAGCAUGUUUAUAUGAAAUCCAAUAGAGAUAAAUUACAUGUUAUUCGUACUGUUCAGGUAAAAUCAAAUAGACAUAUACGUGGGUUUGUAGGAAAAAAGUUAUUCAUACACAUGAUCAAUGAGGGAUGAAAAAAUUCAUUUUGAAAAAUGUGAGGGAUGAAAAAAUUCAUUUUUUGAAAUGUGAGGAACGAAACAAUUCAUUUUGUAAAAUUUUAGGGACGAAAAAAUUCAUUUUGUGAAAUGUGAGGGACUAUGAAUCAGAUUAUGUAAAAAUUUGAUUUGACAAUUUUGCCCUUAAAAAAUGAUCACAUGCAAGUCACAUGGUAGAUUCCGGCCAAAAACUAGUCAGAAACCUAGGUAGGGACCAAAUUUAGUCAAUGUGAAUUUGUAAGGGACGUAAAAUUACACUUUUAAAAGCGAUAGACGAAAAAAGUCAUCUUGUAAAUUGUGAGGGACGUUCUGAACGAUUUUCCCUUAGUUUUUAUUUUUUUUGUUAUUUAUUUUCUCAGAUUUAAGAAUUUCUUCAAAUCUAUAUGUUAGAUCUAAAAUUUUUUGGAUUUUCUCGUCAGAUCUCAACAUCAGUUUUGAACUUGAACCAGUUGGAUAGCAGAUCUGAGGGAAUAGACAUGCACAGAUAUCUAUGGAGCGGUUCGUUCGAUUGGUCAAAUUUGAUGAUUUGUGAUUCAUAGUAUAAUCUUUUAUAUUUUGUAAUUCAAUUAAAUCUUAUAAUUUUUCAGAUCAAAUAUAUCUGUGACAUGGUCAAUGCAUUUUUUGCCAUUAGUGCGGAUUACUUUGUCAAGCAAAUCGUGCUAGACGAUUUCCAGCUAUAUUAUUAAUAAUAUUGACUUAUGUUUUAUAAAAAAAAAUGAUUGCAAAAAAAAAAAAAUGUUCAAUUGAAGAACGUACAAUAAAAUGGCCCCAUGUUUAAGUGGCAUACAUAAUUAUGGUAAAGAGAAUAUUUCAUCAGUUUAUGUUGUCGAAAGAAAAAUAAAGUAUUGAAAAGGAUAGUUUGCCACCGAUGCACAUCUACCAAAUGGACAUGAUACACAUCAUGAUUAUCUUCCCCAAUUUUCACAAUUGAAAAAGAAGGUACAGACCAGCAACGAAGAAAUAUCAAAACAAGAUUAAGUGACAUCCUAGAUGCAUUUCUAGUACUUUUGAUUGAGCUCGCUGCUUUAUUAUGUUCAAAUUUUCUUCUUUAUUAACCAUCAAUGGUGGUUUUCAUCUAUAUCUCUUGAUGACUCGAAUCUGUAAUUAUAAAACCUUAUGAUUACAAAUAAAAAGUUUUACCAUUUAAAAAUGUACUUCAUUGUCACAUUGAUUAGCUCAUUUCUGUAAUGGAUAAUUAAUUAUAUGUGGAGCUUUUCAUCUACCUCACGUUUUUUCCCUUAAGAAAAGUUGAAAAAAAAAAGGCAAAAAGUUGAAAAAAAAAAAAGGUUUUGCCUUCUAAUUUAACAGUUUAGUACAUGGUAUUACAAAACAUUUUAGUUUCUAUGUCCCGUAAAAUAUUUCUCCAUACCAGCUAGUUUGUGUGAAUAUUUUAAACAAGUUGAUUUUUUUUAAGUAUGAAAGUUGACUUAUCAAGAUUAUUGGGAUGAUAUUAUUAGAAUGUUGUACUAAAAAGUUUUUAAAAUUUAGAUGAAAUCCUUAGUGCAUUAAUAUUUGAAGAUUUAACAAGUAACUAAGUGUGGUGAGGGAAAGAAAUUGUAAGUAAGAGAUCCCGCUUAUAUAUUAAAAAAAAUAAUUGUGGUACUAUUAAAAGUUUGUAGAAAUCAUCAUCAACCCAAUUUUUUUGUUUUCUAUUAUAAAAGUUAUUCAUGCACUUUCAACUCAAAUAUAAAAGGAAUUAAAAGAACAAACAAGGAAAAUAGUUUCAGCUUUGUUGCAAAAUUAUACACUGUUAAAAUUAUUCUUACGCAUACAUUUGUCUUUUUAUGUUGUUCAUUUUCGUUCAAAACAAAUAAACGCACAUGUAAAGACUUGUAUACAAAUCCAAAUUAAAUGUCCUUUUUGGCAUUUGGAAUCAAUUAUACAUGUGUCCAAUUCUUUUUCAAGUCCUUCAAAAAUAGGAUGAAAUAUGAAUAAAGGAUUUUUUUUAUUCAGUGUACUAAGAUUGAAGAAUAAAAUGUGGCUCGAAUGUCAUUUUAUCAAAAAAAAAAAAAUCUAAAAUUUUCACAUUAAAGUUAAUGCAACUCAAAUCCUGAGUAAGAAUGUCAAAAUUUAUAGCGGUUUCAUCAUCUUUUUUUGGUGUGUUUUUCUUGGAGUUUAGGAUACAAAAUAGAAAGAAUCAUAACUAAAGAAACUAUAAGAAGCAUAUUAUCAAGCAAAGAUUUGAUGGUAGCAUAGCAUUAAAUGAAAAUUUAUUUGACUUUUUCAACUAGAAAAUUUUAGUAAAUUCAAGAAAUCACAAUAGCUCAAAAAGAUUGAGAAAAAGUUGUCUUGUUAGCCAAGAAAAAGAUCAAAAUAUUUAGAGACAAGCUUAAUUUGAUAACAAUAUAGUAACACUUUGUAAAUAUUUAAACCUUUUGUAUUGUUAUAGCUGGAAUAUUAGUGUCAGAAGAAAUUUUCUAAAAUGACAUGUAUACCUUUCACUAACUAAAGACUAAAUCACAUUAAUAAUUGAUCCAAGAUAGGAAUGGAAAUGGAUAGGGUAAAAUCCGAUAUCCAUUUUCAACCCGAUGGUUAAUACGAUUAUACGACUGAUGCGUAAUCCGUUAGGGUUUGGCAUUGAUUAGGGAUAACUAAUAGAUAAUCCGAUAGGGUUUGAUAAAAGAACCCUAAAAACUCGAAAUCCAAGAUACAUACACAAAUACAUGUGUGUGUGUACAUAAUACAGAUAUUUUACCCUUCAUAAAAUGCUAAAUUACUCUCAUAUAGGUUGUAUGACUCUAUCAAACUUUAAAAUUUAACAUAAUGGGUUGAUUUAAUAUUAUUUAUGUAUUAAUUUUAGUUUGAGAAUAGUUAAUUACCUUUUUCUGAAUUAUUUAAAUUACUAAGUGGAUGGUACUCAAUAAAUAAUCCAAACUCGAGAGUGAGAAGGUUUGAUAAUGGAAAUUUAAAACCUGUAGACUUACCUGACAAGGUUUGGUAAAAAAUUGAGAUAAACAAGUUAGAAUUUGGUAAAAAAGAUUUUUGAGAAUACCAUCCCGCUGCCAUCCCUAAUCUAACAUAGAUAACAGCUCCUUUUUCCUUCUUCCUUACUGGAGGGUCAAAAAAUAAAGAAUUAACUAAAUAAACUAUCAAAAGUAAGUAAAGAAGAAAAAGAAUAGUAAAUGUGUUUGGAUAGUAAAUUAUUUAUACAAACUUACCUACUUACAUCAUAAAUAUAUUUUUAAUCACCUUUUUAUCUCACAUAUAUUACAUCAAAAAAUGUUACAGUAUUUUAAAAAAAAAUUAUCCCAAAGAGUGUAUUUCUCAUCUUCCAAAUAACCAAGCAUUUAGAUGACAUUUGAUUAAAAUAAAGUGACCAAGAUUUACGUAGUGAAAGAAAAAAGUAAGCUUAAAGUGGACUAAUAUUUUGCAUGUACUUCUUAAUCAUAGAUUAAAGAAAAGAAGCAAGAUUAGGAAUUAACCAAAAAAAAAAAAAAAAGGCGUAGACCCCACGCGUCAGAAAAUGAAUGGGCGGGCCACCACAAUAACAAUGAUUUAAUUGGCAACUCUUAUAAAGCUGUCCACCCCCUUUACCGCACAAUCAUGACGUGACUUUUAAGGAGAUAUCAUCUCUACACGUGCCCCCUAUGACGUCAUCUCUUUGUUCCUUGUAUUUCGCCGGUGCCGUAUCGAAGCGCCUGCCGACGUGGCAAUUUUCCACCUCAGCCUCGGGUCGGGUCUGGCAGUAAUAGUAACUCUGAUGACUGAGAACGAGAAUAAGUCGUUGAUUUAUUCCCCGGCCAGCACGCAGGUCUUGGGAGUUUCCAAGUAAGUGACCAUUCUGUGCGCGGUGAGUAAGUGACCAUACUAGUGGGUUUACAUACACAUUGUAUAUGUAAAAUUUGAUCCUCAAAUGCAAAUUAAAAUCGUCUUGCAAGUAUAUAUAUAUAUAUAUAUAUUAACAAUAUAAGAAAGAUUAAUCUUUAUAAUAAUAUAGCAUAAUACUAUUACAUCUUGUGCAUAUAAAUUCUACUACUUAGUAAAUAAUAAAUACAUAUGAAAUUGCUGUGGAGGCAUUGAUUUGGAGUAUAAAUGUCAAUCGCAAUCCAAUUAUGUCACCUCACCAAUAACUUGUUCAUUAAUUUUAAAUGGAUCUAAAUAGAUAUCCAAUUAAAUUCAAUUAAUUGGUGGGUAGUCAACUGGCUCGAUUCAUCCAUUUGUACCCGUUUAAAAAUAAUUUCGCAUUUAAACUCAACUUUUAGUGAGUAUUAAGCAAAUAAAUUUUAAUUUUUUUACCAAUCUAAUAACAAUAAAAAAACUAUUAUUUCUUGUCAAACAAUAUGCGAAAUUUUUUUUAAAAAAUAAGUAAAACUUUAAGUGACUCAUAAAUGUAUAAUUAGGUAUAUCCAUGCGUAUUUAUUGAAUGGAUAUAAGUGGAUACUCAUUUAUACCAAUUUAAAUGGAUUGAUUCAAUUAUACCUAUUAUCUAAUUAUGACCCGCCCAAACCUGUUCAAAUCACCAAUUUUGACAAUUUUAAUUUGGAAAGUAAGGUUGAGAUCUAGGAUUUAAAGGUUUUGGGUUUACAUCCCUAUCUUUCUUUUCUAUUUCUAAAAUCUCACCUUUCCGAAAAAAAGAAGAAGUCUUGAUCGAGUAUACUAUAGUGAUAGGAAAUCCAAGGAGAAAUAUGUCUUUUGGUGUUCUUGAAACCCUAAAAUUCUUUAAAAUCAUACUAUUAUUUAUUCUUUUAUAGAUAGUGAGGAAUCUAGAAAAAUUUUCAGCGAGGCACAUUUAAGAGAAAGUAGUUUUAGUUCUAUAAAUAAAAUCAACUUUUUUAAAAAAAGUUCUAUAAUAGAAUGAUCCCAAUACAAGAUUUACAUAGCAAAGUAAAUAGCAAAAUGUGUAUUUAAUGUAUCACAAAAUAAGUUUCAAGAAACCACAAUAGAUCAUGAGAGCACAAGCUUUUGUGUGUAGAAAAAUUCACAACUAGAUUAAACUCCCUGAAGCAUUGGGGUUGUGUUUAUAGCCAUCAACUUUAUAUAAUUCUGGUGAUUAAGUAAUUCUUACUUGUUAUUUUCUUAAGUCUAUUACUUGUCAUUUAAUAGGAAGUUUCAUCCAGCUACUUAUGGCAUAAAUAUAUAUACACAUAUAUGUAUAUAUAUACAUAUAUAUAUAAAUGAGAUUAUUUGAAUAUAAAACACAAUAAAUUUAUUACUUUGAGUUCCAAGACACGUAUAAUAAAUGGAUAGAAUCAGUAAAUAAAAUUGGAGACAGUUAUAAUGAUAUUUGGAGACACGUAUAUAAUGAUGUUGAAUACAAGACCACUUAUGUUUAAACUCAGAACUUUUCAUGCAUUAUUUCGUUCUAGUCUUGUACAAAUAUCAUGGGCAGUGCAAAAAAUUGUUGAAUGUGCAGCAAUGUGUUCUGAUAUUUGUAGAAUGCUAUACUCAACCGCUUUACAUUGGGGGAGGGAUUGAUUAAAUGGUACGGAAAAGCAAGGGAUGGUUUGACAGGUACGAGAAGGGAGUAUAAGUGAGAGGUUUUGAGUUCAAAACCUUCCACUUUUACUAAAAGAAAAAGAAAAAUGCUUUUCAUUGCACCACAGUAAAAAUUUUGUUAUAUUCUUUGAAAAAAAUUGUGAAGUGAGGAUUUUUAUUUUAAGAAGAUAAGUUAAACCGGUAUUCUUGUUUAAAGAGCUCAAAUUUCAAUUUCAAGUAUUUUGGUUUAAAUAGAAUUUGUUUUAUCUUUGAAGCAAUCAAAAUAUCAUUCACGUAAGAUUGCAAACGAAUCAAGUCACUUACAAACACUUUCGAGUUGACUCGUUCAAAAUUCGACUCGAUCUUAGUCAACAUUGAGUUCAAGUCGACCAAGUUGAUAUAUUGAACUCGAUCCGAGCAUGGAGAAGUUCAGCUUAUUAACUCUCACGCCAACUCUAUAAUAUAUAUAUAUAUAUAUAUAUAUAUAUAUAUAUAUAUAAGUUUAUGAAGUUUAGCUUAUUAACUCUCACACCAACUCUAUAAUAUAUUUAUAUAUAUAAGUUUAUUUAUUAAUGAAAAAUGAAUAUUUUAUUCAUUUUUUAAAAAUAAAAAUAAUUAUUUUUUAUUUUUUUAAGUUCGAGUAGAUUCAAGUUUGAGUCCGACUAGGUUUGAAUUUGAGAUGAAACUUGAGUUCAAAUUUUAUAUUGAAAACUCGUCGAAAUUGAUAAAAUUGAGUCAGACUCAACUCGAUUAAAUCAAUACUCGAUUCGACUCGAUUCGUUUGCAGUCCUACUCAUUUAAUUUAGAAAUGAAGCUCAUAUAGGCUUGUGCCAUUUGAAUGCAAUAGGGAUUAGGGAGUAGAUUAGCUUAAUUGAAACUAGUGAUUUUUAGCAGUAUAUGUGCUUGACUUAGAACAAUUCUAUGUAAAGAAAUAUAUUACUUUUGCAGUAGAUAAUUUUAGGAAAUAAAUUUAUUAAAGGUCAUUUAUAUAAAAGAAGUCAUGUAACUAGCUUGAAAAUUGUGGGAGUUAGCACUUUACAGGGAAUACAACAUUUUUGUACGAGAGAUUUCUACAUUUUUAUCCCUUGCUGCAAAGGCAAUAUUGGUAUUCAAAAUAUCUCAAACAUGAAUACACUAAAGGGUUGUUCUCAUUAUAUUCCCUUGAGAAAAUUAGAAAGUUCGUUUCAUAUCAAAACUAGAAUAACAGGUGUGGACUAGCUAAUAUUUAGUGGAAUUCCAAGUAAUUAAGGAACAAAGAAUCCAAUUGGUUCUUUUUGCUUCCAUAAUGCACUACCAAACAAAAGAUUCUUGUGAAUUUUUUUAGCACAAAUCAAACUAUCAAUCCCAUCUACUUUACCAAAAGGUUUGUUUUUUGAAUUUGUUUAACCCUAAAAUAACAAGGAUAAUAAUCAUGCUGGUGCACCCACUGUUUAUAUUAGAUCUCUAUUAAACAAAUAAGUACAUGUUAAUGAUUGAAUCUCAUUGGUUAAUCAAACAUGGAUGGGCUCUAAUGCUCCCCUCAUUACUGAUAAACACUUUUUUGUAAUGGAAUAGUGUCUGACUAAAGUGUCCCAAUGAAACGAACAGAAUGAUGCUGCUCAAUAAAAUGCAAAUGCCCACUCCAUUGUUUGGGUUCUCCUCAAAUCUUUUGUUUUUCCCCUUUAAUUAUGGUUCUUUCUUGGUUGUACUUUGAUCUUUGGGUUUCAAUCUUCUUUUGGCCGACAACCAUAGAAUCUUUGAUACAUGAUCAACCAUUUUUGUGAGAUUAGAUUAUAUUUCACUAAAGGCAUAAAAUUGGCCCUUACAAAAAUAAAAAGUGUGUGUAAAAGAAGAGCAUAUUGUGAUUGCGUAUACAAAUUCAGUUUUGGUUCUUGAAAUUCCUACUUUAAUCGUUCACCUUGAUGAGAAUCGCGCAUGCAUGCACACACAUAUAAAUAAAUAUAUUUAAUUUUUUUUUAGCAAGAGAGAGGUAAGUAAGUGUGUGUAUGUAUGUAUGUAUGUGUGUGUAUAUAUAUAUGUGGAAACAAAAAUAUCAUAAGAGGGGGAGGGUUCGGUUGGGUGGUACGGGGGGAGGGAGUAUAAGUGGGAGAUUUCGGAUUCGAGUUCUCCUGCUUACACUAAAAACAAAAACGAAGCCAAUAAAGGAAGGGAGGGAGGGAGUGCAAGCAAGAGGUCUCAAGUUCGAGUCCUCCUACUUACACUUUUAUUUAAAAAAAAAUCAUAAUGGGGUCAAUGCAGACAUGUUAAAAGAAUUUUUUUUUUCUUAUGGAUAUGUAACACUUUUAAUUAGCUGAAAUUUUCGAGGGCCCAUAACACCUUUAGUGUAAGGAAAACAAUGAGUGAGUGGGCACAGGACAAGGAUAUAAGCAUUGGCAUCCCUAGUGCGGGCAUGGCCACUUUGUAAGGUGGUCCAAAAUCAUUACGAAAUUGUAGCCAUGAAUACUCUUUUCACAAAGGAGACAUGUGUUACCUCCAAAAAAAAAAAAAAAAAAAAGGCAGACAUGUGUUACCUCCAAAAAAAAUUCAUAUCUCCAAUUAUACACUUGUUUGCAAUUUUUGGAACAAUAUGAAGGGCCCAUUUAUUCCAUUCAAGUGGGGUGAAAAUGACAAACAAAUAAAUCAAGCCAUGCCUGUCAUGUAUCUCUUAGCUUUCUUCAUAUUCUUUUCCCAAAUGAUUUAGAGUGGAAAUAAAAAGUCCCAAAUUUUUUUGACACUGUUGCCUUGCUCCAUUAUUGAAAAAAGGAACUGAAUUUUAUACACUGGACUGCCAACCACCGAGCUUUGGCUCAUUGGCCACAAAAAAUGAAUUAAAUUCUUCUUUAAAUUGUAGAUCGGCGGUCUGAAUUCCACUUACAGUGAAAAAAAAUCUAAAUAAAAUGCCAAAGCACCUCUUUGAUCUAAUCCGAUCUGUAUACCUGCUAACUCUUUAUAUAUUCUCUUUAGACAACUGAACAAGUCAAUAUUGCAAGAAGCAAUCACUACUUUAGGGCCAACAAACACCACUUUAGGGCCCCUUUAUCAUGCCGUAGCAUGUGAGGUUACUCUCUACUUCACUUUUCUCUUUGAGGCAAUUUAGGAAAAAAGAAAAGAGCAACAUUUGAAAUAAUAGUAUCAUGAAUAGUAUCAUGAAAAUUUAUCACUUUAUCAAAGAAAAAAAUAGUAUCAUGAAUUGAAGUAGGUAAGUGUCUUUGGAUAGGAGAUCAUUUGGAAAAUUUAUUUGAAAUAAUACUGUAGCAACUUUUAUAAUAUGAUGUACGUGAGAUAAAAAGGUGGACGGAAAUAUAAAAAAAGGUAUUUGAAAAACGUCUUCAUGAUGUAAACAUUUUUUUUUCAAAUAAUGGUAUUCUUCCCAUUGAAAAGUUAAAAAAAAAUAAUUAAAGCAAGAUAAAAAAGAAGGUACAUGUGGGGUUGGACCACUUCCUUUAUCAAAUUUAGUCUUUAUUGCAGGAUUAGAUGUAUUUUUUGCUAUUUUAUGAUUAUUCUUUUUUGGUUCAAUGAAUUUGAUAGAAAACACUAACCUAGGGUUUCCAACUAAUAAUUGGUAUUAGUCAAAAUUUGAGGAACAUUAAGAAUUUAAUACUCAUGCUGAGGAAUAAAACCCUCCAUUAACUUGGCUAUUAUGUAAUGAAGGAUUUAAACAUUGAAAAGUACAUACUGUUUCCUUUCCUUUCUCCGGGAAUUUCUGAUGCUCACAGGCUUGGACAUUUCAAAAGCGAUUGCAAAGGCAAAACUUGUGGCAGUAAAGUGGGCUGGAUUAGGCACCAGACUUUUCCAAACGUAUUGCAACAGAUAAUUGGGCCUAAAAAUGAGAUCUGGUUUAUAUGGCCCGGAUGUGAUUAAGUUAAUAAAGAUUAAUGAAUAUUCAGCCGAAUUAGAAUUCAAGAGGAAGGGAUUGGUCGGGCGAUUUGAGAAGAAGUGUAAUUGAGAGAUUCUAAAUUCGAACCCUCCUAUUUACACUUUUGAAACAAAACCCCUAGGUAGAGUUCAAAUUUUGGGCACUUAAUAUUAAGUGCCUUUUUUUUUAAUAGAGAUUUUAAUAAAGGUAAAAUUUUUAUGCAGUGUUUAGUGUGUACAUGAGCGGGCAUAGAUGCAUACCAUUUAAUCUAAUUUCAAAUUUGAAAUUACAUACAAGACAUACAAAUACACCUAUAAGUAUAAAAAAUCAUCUACACUGAUAGUGCAUAAAAAUUUAAUUCUUUUAAUAAAAGCACUUAUUAAAUGUUUAAAUAUAUAAUUUAGAUGCCUACUUUGAUAAGUGUUUAUUCUGUUGUGUAAUAUGUAAUUUUAUAUUUUUAAAAUAUAUUUAUCUCAUUAUUGAGCUCAUAAUAUAGGAUAAAAUGAUUAUAUUUUAUAUUUUAUUUUUCAAACCCCAAAAGUUAUUUUAAAAGUAUCAAAUUUAAUUUAAUUUUUUUUACUAAAAUGCUUUUAACUCCAAAAACUCUACUUCUAAAUUUAUGAGAUAAUGUUCAUCAAAUACCUCAAAAGUACUUGCAUCGCUCAAAAGUGCUUUUUAACAUAAGCACCAGCCAAAUGGGCUUUAAAGUAAUUUCAUUCUACGAUAUGAGUUGAAUUAAAGCAAAUAAUGACAGGUUGUCGAAACCUGUGCAAUAAUAAAACCUGCUCAAACUAAAAUUAAUUUCUGUAGAUAGUGGUAAGCAGGGUCGAAUCCACAGGGACUGGGAAUAAUUGUUUCUUUUUAAAUUCACAGUGACAAGGGGGGGUGUUUUUAUCUCAGGGGUGACAAUUUAAACAAUUCAACUAAAAAUAAUAAAAAUAAAAUAGCCGACUAGAAAUUAAAUAACAAAUUACUAAAAUCAAAUGAAUGAUAAUGAAGGAUCUAGCCAAGAAAUAACUUCAGCAAUGGUUCACCUAAUUGAUCAUCGAUAAGCAAAGGCAAUUCCAAUUAUUUAUCAAUAAAUAGGUUAUAACUACCAAACAAGCGAUGGUAGUUAACUUCUCCUUACUGUGUCGGUGAUCAAGGUACGCCCGUUAAUCACUGCUCUAAUUGAGAAAUAAUCCUAGGUACGCCCGUAGAAUUUAAUUCCCCAGUUGCCUUACGUAUUAGAGGAGCCCUAUUCUAAUCAAAUAACGCACUACCAGGGUUAUUUUAGAUUAGCCCGCGUGUUCCCCUGACACAAAUCCAAUCAUGCCAGUUGUCACUAUUUUAGAGCAAUUAAACAAUUACGGAUUUAAUGCCCUAAUUGACAAUAGAUUACCCAAUCAACUAAUUAUCCGGAUCCAAGACAAUCAAUUAAUUAAAUAACCAUAAGCAUAGCAAUCAAGAAAUAUGCGAAUACCAAUAAAUAAAAGAAAAAGAUUAAAUUAAAUCGAUCUCACAAUUUUAGGCCAACCAAAACCUCCGUUGUUCCUUGACUAGAAAAGAAAAAUUAGUUCAUUCCUGGUGAACAAAUCCCACGCAGUAAAGCCUGGUGAACAAACCGACAGCUCUUCAAUCAGGUUCGAACAGCAGGUGUAAGCGAUAUCAGAUUGGCUACUGUUGUGGACGAUAUUUUACAACUCAGAGAUUUGUUUCAUAAGUGCUCCUUUUGCCUAGUUCAUAAUGAUAACAAUCAACUAAGCACUAAGCUUAGUAAAUAUGCCUUGGGCAUUAUUCUAGAUGAGGAACAUUGGUUUCCUUAGUGGCAAGUAAAGCCGCUUGUAAAGUUCAUUCGAGCUUUUGCUUGUACUUGUAAAUCUUUUGUCAAGUAAUACAACCAAUUAUCGUUUCGAGAAAAAAAAAAAGAACAAAUUCCACGCAAAGUUGGAGAGGAAGCCGCAGCCAUCGUCCUUGACCAAGGGAGCUCAGUUCGCUCAGUUGAUGGAAGAAUACAGAAAGUGACCGAGACCUUCAAUUGCUCCUGACAUGCGCAGGAGACAUCCACCCAAGACUCAAGGAAAAAGUCAAAAGGAAAACUAUGCUAAAGGUCCUACGAGGAAGGUAAAACAACUACUAAGAACUAAAAGGGAAGAAAAGUCAACAAAAGCAACUCCCUGGUGCUAGUGCUCAUUCUCUGCCAUAUAUCAAUUGCUCCUAUUCUAAUGGCUACUGUGUGCGGCGGCUCUAGCCUCCAAGGGAAAGAACGCCUAGUCCUGUGUUCCUCCUUCUCCUUUUAUUUUUCCUUUGUGCGGCGCUCUCCGGAGGAAAGAAGGCUUCGGCCCAAAUUACCCAACGAAGGGCUCGCAUCUUUUUUUGUUCCUAAAAUGCCCCUGAACUACGGACAGCUACUGAACCUUCUUUUCUGUCAAAUUGGCUCUUAUUAUGGUAUUUUCGAUCUACUCCCUGGAAUAAAUACAAAUUAUGAAAAGUGAGCAGAAUCCAAUAAUUAAUCCACAUCAAGUCAGGUAAUAGGGGAAAUUAAUAAUAAAAUAAAUGAUAAAAUUGCAACCUAUCAAAUAACAAGAAAAAAACUUGUCUAAUUAAAUUGCUUUAUUAUUUUCAAAUUAUGAUUUUCUCAUUUGGUUUCUUAAAACACUUAUUUGUGCAAAGCAAGUAAAUUUUAUGUGGAAAUAAAUCUUAUUUCUCAACUAAAUUGCCAAUUAUAUCAGUAGAACUUAAAUUGAUGUGGACUACCAAUUUUCGCGUUUUGAAUUUUGUGAUAAGAGGUUAGUUUGUAAUGAUGAAUAUGAUUUUCAUGAACAUUGUAAUAGUUAGAUUAUCUGCCUCAUCUUUUUCGUUUGAGGUUCUUGGCUCAUGGAAUCUUACACCAAUUUCCAAAGAGACAGUCGGACCAGUUCAAUUGACUGACUCGUUUCGAGCCAUUCCAAAGAUAAGAGCCAAUAGAUACUUCACUAUUUGGAAAAAAUUUGUAUAGAUGCUACUGUAGCAUUUUUUGUGACAUAAUUUGCAUGAGAUUAAAAUCUGAUUGAAAGGAUUAAAAAAUGUAUUUAUGAUAUAAGACUAUAUAUAUAUGUAUGUAUAAGACUAUAUAUAUAUAUAUAUAUAUAACUUUUCAUCCAAAGCCACCUAUUGAGCUUCCAAAUUUCCAUUCUUUCUAAUUUUUUUAUUGAUUUAAUUGUUUAAAAUAUCAUUAGUACCUUGUAUUUGGAUGGAGUCCAAAAAUAUGCUACUAUUAGUUAAGUUUAGACCCUAAAAUUAGAUUCUUUCAAACCUAUAGUAUACCCAAAAAUAUGAAAGAAUGCCUAUGAUCUUGCAAUCUAAUUCCAAUUUACCAAAAUUAGAAUGAACAUUAAAUGUUUGAACCUAAUAAUAAGGAAAUCUUCUCCAAUUUCUUUAGUCUUUUAUUAACCUUAACCAAAAAAUAAGUUUGGCCAUUUAAUACCUAUAAAACGAAUUUAAGGAAACAUCUUUGUAAUUAGUUAAUUGUACUGAAAAUAACUAUGAGCAUAUUAAUGAUUUGAACAUCAAAUUAAGGAAACUAUAAAUAAUUACGGAUUUGAAAAAAAAAAUUGGAGAAAUUUCCCCACCUCUCAUGAUAUGAACACCACAAAAAUUUUAAGGGGAAAAAAUCAUGACAAACCCAAUUUUUUUUCAUUUCUCUGUUAUUUCUAUCAAAAUCUAUUAUUUUACUAAGAAAUUGGCUUCAUUGUAAUGUAAGGUAUCUAUUAAUAAUUUCUCAAAAUGAACCACAAACAACUAUGUGUAUGUUGACAUCUAUUAAUUUAUAUAAUCAAAUUAAGCAUUUUAUAUGUUUCUUAUCCUAUAAUAGGCCAUGCAUUUGCUAUUAUUUCUCUUUUGUUAUAAGAUUUAAUCUUUUAUUCUUUGAAUUCUAAGAUUGCAUAUAGGAAAAUGUUUUAUGUUAAACUCUUAAGUCAAAUAAUUUUGCUUUACAAAAUCAAGUACUAAUAAUCAUAAUGUAAUCACAAAAAUUAGAUCUAAUAUGUUAUUAUUUAAAAAAUCAAUUUAUCAAUAUCCUAAAAAUAUAUUCUCAAGUUUUUUUAUCAUGUUUUUACUCGUGGUAAUCUUUACUUAUUUUUCAAUAUUCAUUUUGUCAAUUAGUUUUCUUUUUACUCUAGUAUCCUUAAUUGGAAUAAAGAAGCUAACUCCAUGUUCUCAAGUUCUAAAGCAACUAUACAAAAUUCUAAUUAUUCUCAUGAUUGUUUAGCAUCUUCUUUUCAUAAGUAUAUCUUUUUGGUUUUUUUUCUUUCGUUUUUAUGUGUGACAUCAUUAUAAUUAUAUUAGGUGCUCACAAUAACAUUUUUAGAAUAUAUCCAAUAUAAUACUCUUAUAAUGAGUAUAAAUUUUAAGGUGAACAAAUUUUAUUGAUACAAAUAUAUAUCUUAAAUAAACGAGGAUGUAUUUGAAUGGUUAGCUUUGAAAGUGGUUCAGGAAAUCUUUAAAAAAAAAAAAAUUGAAUGGCUAUUUAUAAACAAACUUCAAAGAUGGCAAAAUUUUGUGGAUUUAUACCCACAUUUUGAUUUUUCUAAUAGAUCUCAAAUUGCACCUUAAAUUUGGCCAAAACUAUUUGAAAGAUGUUAAAUGGGUAGCGAAGGGGGAAAAGGGAGAUAGGGGGAGGAGAAUCUAUAAAAUGGAAGAAAAGUGUCGACAAAGUGAUGUAUAAGAUUACAAGAAUAGGCAGGGGAUGGAGGAUAUGGAUGCCUUGCAAGGUAGGAAAAAGAUUAGGCUUGUUACGUAAGUAAGGGUAGCAAAUAAAAGGGGAUAGUACCAGGUAGAGGGCAUAAAGAAGGUGAGACUGCAAGAUUAGCCAAAUGUGGCAUAAAGAAAGAGGAGAGUAGCAGGAAGGGUAUUGGAUUGUAAGGUAGAAGAGAUGGCAAAUAGGGGAAUGAGGAGGAUGAUCGUGAUAUGUGAGUUUUGUAUGUCUUUUGGACCUUAUUAUUUGAGUGUUUUUCUAUUUAAUUUUGGUAAUUUUUUUUUUAUCUUUUUUUAUUGAAGAUGUAAUUAUUUGAAAAUAAAUAUUAUCUACUAAUGCAACUGGAAAUAGAUUUUUUUAUUAUUUGUUAUUCAUGGAAUCAUGUGUAGUUUAAAAACUACAUCAAAGUUCUCAAGGUACGAUAUACUCUGAAAGAAAGGAAUUUUUCUAAAAUGGGACAAAUUUUUAUAAGUAAUUACGAGAAUAUAUGAUAAUGAAACACAAUUUUUAGGUAAAUUCAUAACUUUUUCAAGUUUAUGAGUGGGGAUUUUUUUCCUUUGCUUUUAUUCAAAGUAAUAUAUUUUGAUAGAAAUUGACACCAUCUUGAACUUUCAGCUUUUCCAUUCCAAAUGACUCUUUUUUUUUUUUUUUAAUUAAAAUACUUUUACUAUUUUGAUUUCAAAUGGUUAACUCAUGCAUAGCACGGGUCAAAAUUCGAGUAUUGAGAUAUCCAAAUACACUCUAUGCAACUAGCUUGCAGGUAUCUCAAAUAAACUCAUCAUCGUAAUUCCAUCUUGAACAUAUAUAUAUAUAUAUAUAUAUAUAUAUUUAAUCCUCCCACUUCUCUCCAUAUCCUUCUACCUCCAACUGCUAGAUGCAUGAUUCGAAUCUUGAUCGUGACAGCUUCCCCUUAUUACCGGGCUAAUUUUAAUGGUUCAUCUUGAACACAUAUAAGCCACUACAAUGUCAAAUGACGCAUUAAACUCAUAAGCUUAUUUCAUGAAUGAGUUGGCCAGUCUUAUUAUAAUGUUAUAUUCAACAUUAUCAAAAUUAAUCAGCACUCGUAAGUACUUUAUUAUUAUUAUAAUCAGCUCAAAAUUAAUCACCAAUUUUACUAUUCUUUUUUUUUUUUUUUUUUACAAAGAUCAAUUUUACAAUUCUAAACAUUCAUUUCUGGACUCUCGAUGCCACUCCAAAUUGCAGAAAACAUCACCAGUUCACUUGCUCUACUUAUCCAAGCUCCUUUCAAUAUAUGUGCAUCAACUUGUAAGUAACUUGCAUUUAAACUCACACGUAAACACUUAUGGCAUAUGUUUUGUAUGCUCUAUUAAAUUUUAAGAAUAAUAAUUUACUAAGCUUUAUGAGUUAGAUUUUGAGAAGUUCAAUUUCUAUUCACAAUAUAAAAAGAGCUUUUAGACUUUGAGUUUCAUGUGCAAUACUUGUAUUUUACUCAUAAACAUAUUAGGGUUUCAAGCAUAAUUCAGAAUUAACCCAAAGUCACAAUUAAUUCAUAAUUUUAUAUAUAUGAGAAGUAGGGUGGGGCUUAAAAUUUAAUUAUUCAGGUUGGACAUAAUAAUGUAUAUAAUUAUUAAAUAUGCAUCAUUAUGAAUACAAAUAUAUACUUAUAUCCUUAAUUAUUCAGGUCAAACUAUAAUUGAGCCGAGCUUAAUUUAGUCCAAACUCGACUCAAAAUUUGAUCACGUCUUAUUUUAAGACCUAAACUCAACCUAAUUUAAUGAUGCACAAGAUCGGAUUCUAACUUUUUUUAGCCAAUAGAGUGAAGUUCGGAUUAACUCGACCCUAUUAACAGUCCAAAAAUCACGCGACUUGGUGUCCUUUGAUGAGAUAAGAAAAUGACUUUUUUUUUUUUUUGGGGUAAAGCAAUCUCUCGAUUGUCUAGUAUUAAUAUUAAAUGCAGAGAUUUGUAAUCCAUUUCUGAGUUCUGACAGUCCAUUUAUCUCAUGCUCCAACAGCUUGAAAUUAAAGAAAAGAAAGGAAAAAAAAAGGGAUAAUUUCAGAAACCUCCCUUGAGGUUUCAUGAAAUAUCACCUAACUCCCCCUAAACUUUUUAAAAUCUCACUUAGCACCCUUGAAGUGAUAGUAGGGCCAUAUACUAAUAUCAAAGGUGAUGAAUUGUCAAUAAUACCCUCAUAUUUAAAUUUUUUAAAUUUGUUUUUCUUUCUCUAAAUUUUCUACUUUUCUUUAACAGUGUCUGUACAAACAUACAUACAUACAUACAUAUAUAUAUAUAUAUAUAUAUAUGUAUAAUUGAAUUGCAAAUGUCGAUAAAAUAUAGAAUUUAAUCAAUGAAAUAUUCAAUGUAUUUGGAGAAAAAUAGCUACAAGUCUUUUUAUUUUUUUCUCUUUUUUGGUGUUUCACAACUUUAUUUAUUUAUUUAUUCCUAUUCAUGUAGAGUGCAAGAGAAAUAAAAGUAAUUGAAACUCCGAACAGUUUUUCAAAGUCUCACUUUUUCUAUAAUAAAAUUUCAUAUUCACACCCAUAAAAAAAGUUUGUCUAUUUUGAGUAAAUUUUUUGUUUGAUAUUGAAGUUGAAUUUCAUCUAUUACUAAGUUUUUUUUGCUCAAAUGUAUGAUUUUAUAGACUAAUUACCUUCAACGCUACGAAGGGUUCUAUUUGUAGAAAUUAUUUAGAAAAUACUAUUUGUUUUUACCAUCUCUUCCUACUAUAAAAGUGACUAUUGGCUGUAACAUAAAAUUUUACCAAUUUUUAUCUUUUCACUUUUAAGAUGGUUCCAAUUUAGUACUUUUUUUCUUGGUUUGUAAAAUGUUCAUUUUUUUAUAACCUAAGGGUAUUAAAGGCACUAAAAUAAUCUCUCUCCUCAAACAUGAAUUUUUUAAUAUUACUUUUGGUUAGAAGGGCUUCCAAUAUUAUCAAAAUGUCAAUUCAAGGGGUGUUAAGUGAGAUUUUGUAAACCUCAAGGGAGCUAGGUGAUAUUUCAUAAAACCUCAGGGGAGGUUUAUGAAAUUAUCCCAAAAAAAAAAAACAGCUUGAAAUUUAGUACGUUAAGCUCUAUGUAUUGUACACUCAGAAACUAAAGUCCUAACUCCUAAUAGACCAUUACCAUAUUUCCAUCUUCCUCUCUGAAGCUCAACUGCGAAGCCAUGGAAACUCUGCUGCCUCUUUCCACAACUCUUCGUAUCAACACACUCCAUCCAAUGGUUUCUCCUUCAUUUCUCCAGAGAAGUGGCUCUGCAAAUAAAUUUUUGCCUCUAAAGGUAAUGACUACGUACUUUUACUGCUGCUAAAAUAUUCCAUCUUUUGCAAGUUUUAUUGGGUUUUUUUUGUAAUCUUUUUAUUUGUUUUCAGUGCUAUUUUUUCUGGGUUUUGAUGGGAAUUGCUUGAUAUUAUUGUAUCUGUUGGAAACUGGAUAUUUGAAUUGGGAUUUUUUUUUUUUUUGGGUUUAGGACCAAAAUUAAGUAGGUAAUUUUGUAUGUAAAGCAGUUUUCUGUUUUGAAUUCCUUUAGUUAUUGUAUGUUUUCCCGUACUACUUAAAGUAGAUUCAACAAUAGCAAUAUUUGAUCUUCAAAGAUUCCAAAUUUGUUGCACUGAAAGGGAAGUUUGAGUUUCUGCUAAAAAUUUGUUGCUUGAUAUUAUUGUAUCUGUUGGAAACUGGAUAUUUGAAUUGGGAUUUUUUUUUUUUUUUUUUGGGUUUAGGACCAAAAUUAAGUAGGUAAUUUUGUAUGUAAAGCAGUUUUCUGUUUUGAAUUCCUUUAGUUAUUGUAUGUUUUCCCGUACUACUUAAAGUAGAUUCAACAAUAGCAAUAUUUGAUCUUCAAAGAUUCCAAAUUUGUUGCACUGAAAGGGAAGUUUGAGUUUCUGCUAAAAAUAAAUAGUAAAAAGAGAAGUUUUGAGAUUUAUUUGGUAUGGGAAUUAAAUUCUGUAGGGUGGAUAGGAAAUCUAUUGUUGGAGGGGUGGAGAUAUUUUGGGUGAUAUAAGAUUUUAAGAUAAAUGUUUGUGCUGAAUGCUGAAGCAAGGGGAACUAUUUGGUUGCCUGCAGCAGUAUAUGGGAAAAAUUAGCAUUUUACAUGAAAACAAGAAAAAAUUGUAAAAUCCAGAUUUUUCUAUCGUUGUUGCAUCAGAUUACUCUCUUACAGAGCUUUCCUUCUUUUAUUUCCAAGUUCAGUUUUUGGUAGGUUAUUACUACAUCUUAAGAUAUGAGUAUCUUGGAGUGGUAUAGCUUCCUAUCCUCAAUUAGAUACUAAACUGGACAAAAGCUUUUUAAUUGACAAAUACCCAGCUCGGCAGGAAUGCAAAAGCUUAAGUCAUCCAAUUAGAAAUUAUUGUGGCAGUUUUAGCGUGACAACCUCACUAUGUGUUGUGGUUGUGCUCAUAACAGAGACUUUUGCAAGGGAAACAAGAAGGCAAUGUUGAUCGUCAUGAUGCUUACAUGGAUUGUCCAUUCAGUUCAAACACAUGCACUAAAAGUUUACUUCAUGUUACUGAGGAGCUUUUGCUUGAAAUGCCAUACAAAGGUUUUUUGCCUGAUGUCUCCACUCUGUCUACUUUGAUGCUGUGCUAUGCCAACAAAGGUUUGUUCUCUCAAGCACAGUGUAUUUGGGAUGAAAUGUUUAACAGUUCUUUUCUACCCAGUGUUCCUAUAAUUUCAGAGCUAAUUGAUGUCUAUGCAACCAGUGGACAUUUUGAUUUGGUGAGCAGAAUUCUGCAUCAAGUACGCUUGAGAAACCAUAUGAUGUUACCUGCAAUAUAUGCGCAGACUAUUUCUUGUUUUGGUAAGAAAGGAGAACUUGAGUUGAUGGAAAUUAUGCUAACAGAGAUGAUUGCUAUGGGAUUCUCGGUAGAUUCUGUCACACAAAAUGCUUUUGUCAUUUAUUCCAGCAAUUUUGGUUCAGUGGCUCAGAUGGAAGUUGCAUAUGCCCGUCUUAAGAGUUCAAGGAUUCUCAUAGAGGAAGAAGGAAUCAGGGCAGUUUCAUCUGCUUAUAUCAGGGAAAGGAAAUUCUAUAGUCUAGGGAAGUUUCUAGAGGAUGUUGGUCUUGGCAGGAGAAAUGUAGGAAACCUUCUGUGGAACCUUCUCCUGUUAUCCUUUGCCGCCAACUUCAAAAUGAAAAGCUUGCAGAGGACCUUUGUGAGAAUGGUGGAAGGUGGAUUCCAUCCUGAUCUGACUACUUUUAACAUUCGAGCUCUGGCUUUUGCAAAGAUGUCAUUGUUUUGGGACUUGCAUCUGAGCAUUGAACAUAUGCAGCAUGAAGGAGUUGUACCCGAUCUUGUGACUUAUGGUUGUAUAGUUGAUGCAUACUUGGAGAGAAGGCUGGGAAAGAAUUUGGAAUUUGCUUUGAGCAGAUUGGACACAGAUACUCCUGCUACGAUAUUGACAGAUGGAAUUGUUUUUGAUGCGAUGGGAAAAGGGGAUUUUCACUUGAGCGCGGAGGCCUUUUUGGAGUUCAAAGAUAAAAGGGAUUGGACCUAUAAGCAACUUAUUAAAAUAUAUCAAAAGAAAAAAUUCCGGAGUAACCAAGUGUUUUGGAAUUACUGAUGAAAUGUUCAAUCAAUAUGAUUUCAAUGCAACAAGCAGCUUAUGCCAAAAGGACAGCCUCUCACUUGAAUAGUGAGACAAAAAAACCUGGUGGGACUCUUUGGGUGGACAAAGAGCAUCAGCUACAGGUGAACAGAAUGUUGGGAGCAGAUGCAGUUUACUCCAAGAGUUGUUGUAUAUAGGUAGGCCAAGGCUGUAUUUUUUUCAUUUAUCUUUUCUGAAAAAAGUCCUUAUAUGCUUGUAUUUUCCAUAUUUAGGAUGUCAGCACAGAAGUUGGGAUGUGGAAAAGGACAAGUUUGGUGAGCAUUAGUUCAUAGCUACUUACCAAAGUUUGAAUGCAUGAAGGAGACAAGUAGUAGGUGCCAUGUCAUUUGGUAGGCUCUGCUUUUUUCUUCCGGUUUUAGAUAUGAAACCUUUUAUUUCUUUAUUUUUUUAAACUGAAAAAUGUUUUGGAUCAAGACAUAAACUAAAUGGGUUUACAGCAAAUCGAAAGAGUGGAUUGAAUAAGUACCCAUAUUUUUCAUUCUUGUUUUGCCACAAUCAUUUCAGUGCCAUCUUGCAUUUUGUUUGAUGUAAAUAGUUUGUUUCUCAAUUGAAACUGAUGAAGAAUGUAAAAAGAUGAAGAAUCAAGAGGAUGAAGCACAAGUAAUUAACCAUUGUCUGAUGAUAUAUGAACGUCAAGAUAUCCGUCAUUAGGAUCGCCACUUACACCCAGUGUCAUUUCUAUUCGGAUUUGCAGGUUUAGGAACAGAAAGAUACUGAUAAUGCGGCUGAAGAUGACUGUCGAAAGCUGUAAUCACCUCAUCCAAUCACCAAGCAGAAUAUGAAAAUCAGGCAACCAAUCAUUAAGAUCACCUUUUCAAUUUAGCUAUCCCAGCCAACCAAUGAUUAAAAUCACCAACAUGGCUGCCUCAGCUUCCUUUAUCUGACAUUGCAUGGCCAAUUUCUUAAGCAUUGUUGGACUAUUCUUUGGCUUUGCAAAUUUGUAUCCUUUUUUCUUCAGAUAUUGUUAGAGUACAAAAUCUUAAUGAGUUGCUGGAGUUUGUUGGAUAAUUUCUUAAGAUGCUAAUAACUUACUGCACAGUUGCUAUAAAUUUAGUUUAUGUCUUAUGACUUCAGUUAUAGCGUGGUAGGCUAUGCUUGCAGUCUCAAGGGGAUCUUUGCACCAUGCUGUGGUAUGGCCGACUAGCAACCAUGAAAAAAUCGAUGAAAUUUAUGAAAGAGGAAAAAGAGAAACAAGGAGGAGAAGUGUGCAAAUGAUUGUUGUUCCUUCAUCAAAUAGUCUUUUUCACUCGUUCCUUUCUCAGUCCUUCCCCCUCAAAUUCUGGAUAGAAUCUUGAGAUUACUAGAUCCACUUUCUCUGGUUUCCAGGUGCUGCUAUAACUCAUUGUUGAGUUUCUGUUGGAACUUCCAGAAAGAGUUUAGUUAAUGGAAAACCAGUAGAUUCCAGAAAAGAUUGUCUUUACAUUACUGGAGCAUGUUUGCUUCUUUGCAUGAUUGGAUAGUUCAGCAUAAUUGGAUAGUUAUAUGUCAACUUGGCUUUAAGUUUAGCUGAGAAUGUUAGGAACUCUUAGAAGUUUAGUUGGAUAAUGUUGUUAUUUAUGCCAAGCUUGUUUGCAAGGAAGAACACAAACCAAGACAUAUAGGCUCUGUGACUUGCAGAAAUUACUCUAGGAGAUAUUUCAGAUCUUGAGAUGAUACGAGUAAGAUCUUGUAACAUUGAAUUUUUCCUCAUCUGCGUUCCAAUUGAUGUAUUAGAAUGACUAAACCAAAUGGAUGUAUUGGAAUGUCUGACUCCAUUCCUAGUACUAAACCAAACGGAUGGAAUGACAGAUUCCAUUCCAAGCCCAGGAUGAAUGAUCUCAAAUCCGAAUCUGAUUCCAAUGUGCAAACCAAAUGCCACCUAAGAGGUUUGUUGAUGUUGCAGAGAGUCAUUUUCAUCACUCGAUAAUGUCAAAGACUCAGGCCCUCUAUAACAGCCAAAUACUAUGUAAAAUCUCAAUCUACUGCUUCCUGCAUGAGUCUAGAUUUUCUGAUCACAGGACCAAAUUCGAGCAUUGGAUUUCAUUUUUUCAGGUUCCCUUUUCCCUAAACGCCUUUCUCAGCGGAAACUAAUGCAAAAUUCACGUCUCUUGUUGUAGUUGCAUGACAAGCAUAACAUAGUAUGCGUUAACUUCGUAAUUUGAAUCUUUGCUUUUAAUUGCUUGGUUAUCGAGUAUGAUCAAGUUGAUGAGGGACAUUAAUAUUUCUCCAUGCAGUUCACUUUGACCUUUGCAGUAUGUUCUUGUGGAGUUUGAGCUUGAACUCAAGCAUGUUUUUUUUGAGCUAUCUCGUCAUUGUUCUUAAUAAUCAAAUCACUGUACUUUUUCCUUUAUACUGAGCUAUUCAAAAUGCCGCUGAGAGAAUAUCGUUUGAUCACUUCUGAAUUUUUUGUCAGAAGUGAUCAAACCAAAAAAUUGUUCGACAAGUAUAAGUUUUGCCCACUACCACGUGUAAAGAUGAAAUUGAAAAUCUAUUGCAAGUUGGUGUUGAAUAUUGUUUAUAUUGCAACUGAAUUUUUCAUGGAGAUUCAAACUCGUGAUGACAUUGGAGAUGACAAUAUCAAGAGUUUGGUUUAAGGGAGGCAAUAAGGGAAAUUAAACCAAACUGUAUUUGGUUUCUUAAUUCUUUUAGCCGUCUUGUUUGUUUAGUUUCCACAUCGGAUUAGGAAAUUUAAAAUCAGUUUCCAAGUAAAUUUCAAUUUACAAUUGUACUUGUUUAAUGAAAUUUUGGAGUCUAUAAAUACUAUCAGUCUAGUAGGUUAUUACUGGAAGAGUUGAGUUAAAUCGUAAGAAUACGUUUGAGAAAAAAUUUCACAGUUGAAAUUUGUAAGUGGUUUUGAGCUAAAGGCUAUGAAUUUAUAUUGUUAUUAUUGAGUUUUCGAUUAAUAAAUUAUUGAGUUUUGUAAUGUGUUAAUUGUCCUCCUCUUCCCACGUAUUUUUACACAUGCUAAAAUUGCUUCUGCCGUGCGCGCCUUUUUUUUUUUUUGCCAACACACUUUCUCUCUCUCUCCUCAUCGUUUCACGCUUUCACUUGUCAUUUAGUUUAACUAAUUGAACAUUUAGCCAGACAGAAAUGUGAAAAACUGGGAAUCGUUCAAAUGCAGAGAAUUGAAACACUAGAUUACUUGCAGAAAAUGGAAGUGAUGAAAGUUGCUGCUUCUAAAUCUUUUAGAGCAUACUAUGUAGAGGUAAACGGGAACUUGAAAUUCGAGUGACUUGGAAUUUAAAUAACUAAAAAUGCAGUCUUAUUACAUGCCUCUUGGUUUUACCAGACAAAAGAGACUUAAGGGAAACCUGGGCAAAAUGCCAGACUACUUAUCCAAUAUUCUUGGAAAAGAUAAUCAGAUUAGGCAACCUUGAAACACUAGACAACCUUAUAAAAAAUCAUCUUGCAGUCUAAAUAAAAUCAAACAAUGGUUUUCUGGUAGCCUUCAGCAUUAAGGUGAUCUCACAACCUUUUUUCUGAAUCUCUUCAAACAUACUGCUCGCCAACUUACUCAUUGAUCUCUAUCUGAAAAGGUUGGAGCGCUUGACCCAUUUGUUAGACUUUCACGUCCAGAUUGUUGCGGCUGAUCUUCACUCACCUGCAACAGGAUUUUCAACAAUGUAUUAAACCACACGAUUGAUUAUCCAAAAAGAUCAGUCUUUAGAAGUACUUGAAUUAUAAGGCAGCCAUGCAGUUUAUAGCUCUCCAGUGUGCCACAGAAAAAAUAGAUGGAUAUAAUGGACAGGGUAUCUCGUCAGCUUUCGGACAGGGUAGAGAUAUUCAAACAAUUCCAACGUUGUAUUGUCCGGACUCUUUGGAAAUAGAGACAUUUUGUUUGGUUUAUCUAGAAUUCAGCAAUUAUUUUACUUUGAAAAUUACCUGAGAGGCACAUUUUGGGGUUUCUCUCACUAGGGUUGCUGGACUAGGAAUGAUGCCUGACAUUCUUUCUUCUGCUAGAGUCCUUAACCUAUCAAGUUCAGGUAACACCACAGUACGAAGAUCUGGUCUAUCUUUACGCCUUAGUUCUGCGCAUUUAAGAGCUAACUUGGCAAAAUUCAGGGCCUCCUCUACUGGCCAGUCUGGAACAGCUGGGUCAAGCAUAUCAGCGAAUUUCCCCUUCUCAAUGGCCCUCUGAACAUGGUGAGUCAAACCCAUGGGAGGUUUUGCUGUAAUAAUUUGAAGAAGCAUGACUCCUAAAGAAUAAAUAUCGGAUUUUAUUCCAAGCAUACCAGUUUGCUGGUACUCGGGAUCUAUGUAACAGAAUGUUCCGGCUGUGGAUGUCAUAAGGUAUUGAGUUACAGUAUCAGCUACAGAAGGAGGGACAAGCCUUGCUAAACCAACAUCACCGAUCUUGCUUACAUAGUUUCGAUCAAGCAAAAUGUUGGCUGGUUUUAGAUCCCGGUGAACGAGUGGUUCUGGCUUUGUCUGGUGGAGGAAAAGGAGGCAAGUGCCAAUCUCUGCUGCUAUUCGGAACCUUAAUUGCCAGGGAAGCACUGGGGUCUGUCCUCGCCGGAAGAGACGAUCAUCUAAGCUCCCAUUUGGCAUGUACUCAUACACGAGGCAACCAUACUCUGGGCAUGCUCCUAGUAGGAGAACCAUGUUCGGAUGUCGUAUACAACUAAGAACUUCAACCUAUAUCAACAUAGUACAAAAGAAUAUGAGAAAGACAUCACUAGUGUGUUUCAGUAAAACUAUUUGUUGUAAUUUGAUUCCUUCAUAGGAUGUUAGUGCUUAAUUCUGGCAUUAGGGCCUGAAGAUUUAUUGAUUUCAUGCAUUAAAAUGUACGUACAGAUGCUGCAGAAGGUUGUGCAUCUUUAUCAAAAUUUGCUUGAAUCUGUUAUAUAUUUUCAGCAUGUUCGUAUUAUUUCAUUGGUCAGUAUAUGCAUUUUUCGUCCUUUUAAUUUUUGUUACAUAGCUGUAGUUGGAUGACUGAUGUUCUAAGGGUAGUCAAACAUGCCUAAGUAUAUUUAAGUCCCAUACCUCUUGCUGAAACUGUGCCCUUCCUUGAGAUGCGUCAGGACGUAGUACCUUUAUUGCAACAGGUGUAUGAUCUAGGUUACAUUUGUAGACUGGUCCAUAUCCACCUUCACCAAUUUUUCGAGACUCUGAGAAGUGAUCCGUUGCUGUUUCAAUUUCAUCUAUGGUGUAUCUCCGGUAUCUAACAUCACCAUGUGCUAGCGUAUGCAGUACUCUUUUUCUCUCCUCUUCUUCUCUGAGUGCCUUCAUUUCUGCAUUCUUUCUUUUUUGUGCUUCCAGUUCUGCAAUCCUCUGAGCUGCUUCAGCUGCCUCAAUGGCUACCUUACACUUGGCCUUUUCUUUUUCUGCAAUUGCUAGUGCUGCUUCCUCAGCUAAUCGUGCCUCUUCUAGCUUCUGCUGUUCCUCCAUUUUCCAACGUUGAAGCUCUAAUGCCUAGAGCAAAUAUUUUAAAUUUACUUUGGCCAUUUCCAAUUUGGCUGAUAAAAUUCUUAUAUCUUUGACUUCUUGUGUAUUUCGUGCAACGAAUGGAGAUCUUACUGCACAAGGAGUUUGAAAAUUUUGAAUUGCAAAAGUGCUCACCUUCUGUUUUGCUAAGAGUGCUUCUUUGCAUGCUGUGCUAUACAUCUCCAUUGUCUGCUUGAGCUCUUGCUUGAGCCUUCUCAUCUCAGCUUCUACAUCCUCCUGUGCGUAAGAUACGCAGCUUAAGCCAUUGUUUAAUAAAUGCUCUAUUUAUCAUCGUUGCUUUGGAAAGGCCUAUGUUGUUAGUGGUGCAUCUUCUAGUAACUUUGAAGGUCCUGAAAACCUUCAUCUAUACCCCUUACCCCAGAUAAGAUUCCUUACCUUCUUUGAAGAAGUAAAAAUUUUCUCUUGGUCAUAUCAAACCACUGAAAAUAAAAUGCAGAAACCACAGGAACGAAGGCAAGGGAAAAAGCAAGUGAAAGAUGUAUGUUUGGAACAUUACCUGAUGUAAAUGUGAAUUAACGUAGAGAAGAAACCUUAGUUCUUAUUCCUGUCUGGAGGGUUUAAAUCUCAUAGCGGAGUGAAUGUUCAAUGGCUUACAAUAUCACACUAUAUCAGUGUUCAGUAAUCGACUACCAUAUAAGAAAUUAGUUGGGAAUAUUUUGUGUUGGAAGUUAGGCAUUGUGUUAAUUACACAAAUUCUCUUUCCUAAAAGGCCUGACUAACAAUCUUUGGUCUUGGUGUCUUGCGAUCUUCAUAUGACCAAUAACACUGAUCGGCCUUUAUAGUAUUACCUGAGUAAUUUCUAUGUUUUAUGCUAUUACCUUGAACUUGUUACACAAAGUGUGAAUUAAGUAGUUAUUUUCCAUUAGUAAAGCAUUUCAAGUUUAAAUCAUGCUUAAAGCUUGAAGUGGUUUUUGUUGUCUGCCAAGUCUUUCACAAACUUGAAUUCUACUCCUGUACUACAUUGUUUGUAAGAUUGGCUCGGAAACUUCAUCUGUAAAUCUCAUUGGGUCACUAAUGCUACUUCUGUAUGGUGGAGAAUAUGCAUGUAAUACAAAUAAAUUUCUUUUUGUCCUUUGAAUUUUAUUUUUUUGUUGGAGAUUGAUAAGACAGUAAUCACUACUAACUUGGUUUCGCAAGACUACUUUAUUUUCGGUUGAUGAAUUAACAGUAUUGGGUAUCAAUGCGCAUACCUGACUCUGGCUGGAUGAUGACGACCAUGAUAUGCUGCCAUUUUCGUGUGUUCUGGAUGGAAAUGUACCAGAACUGCUUGUAUCAGGUGUCCUUGGCCCUGAGAAUGAUGAACCAAAAUUCGAUGUAUUCUCUGUUUCAGAGCCAUUUGAAAGACGAGGGGGAAAUGCCAUGUCCUGAAUGUCAGGUAAAGGGAACAAGUGGUCCAUGCUUGACCUGCCCGAACUGAUAAAUGAUAUGUCGCUAUCUGGCAGUGAGAAGUCUCCAGAAGACCUAUUCUGAGUUUUGCCUCUAGUAAAUGGUGACCUGAGCAAGGGUAGUAAAGUACGGUUACUGUAUGUCUUAGCCUUCAUUUGCUGGAAAUCAAUCAAAUGAUUUGUUUAUUCACUUUCAUCGCAUUUCUUUUGCAGGUAUUGGUUGAAAUGUGGGUUCCACACAACUUUUACCCAUGCAGAUUUAAGAAUUCUGAUAAAGGACCAAACAUCUUAAUGAUUUUGAAUGUGAGAUGCCUAAUACCGUCAUUCUGUUUGUUCCUUAUGUAGAAAGUGAAAAGCAGUCAUUUCUUGAUAUAUGCACAACUCACUUGAUUGAGUCCAUAUCUUCAGCCAGAGUUCGUGGGGCAAUCGGUGAUUUAUCAUGAGAAAAACCUGUUCAAGUUGAGUGAUGCAUUUAGUUCCUCUACCUGUACUAAAACCAUAAUUUAGACAUGGCGAAAUUGCAGAACCAGACCUCUUACUCCACUGCCAUGCAUCAGACGUGCAUCAGAAAGGACAGGAUUUGUCGUGCCUUGAUUUUGCCCUUGGCGAGGCGGUGGAUUUGGAACUGGACAGGAGGCAGCCCUUACUGAUGAGAGUUUUCCUUUUGAGAUGGUAAAAACAUUGCAAAAAUCUGGUGCCACCUUGGAAACAGUGGAAGCGACGUCAUUAGUCUUGAAUCUGCUGCGUCCAAAGAUUUGUUAGUAACGAGGUACAAAAAUAGCAUCACACUUAUGCUUCAUCAGGGGAAAAGGGAAAUAGCAACACUAAUGCUGCUAGUCGAGUAGUUGCUAGAUGAUAAUAUUUCUACUAUCUUCAUAUUGUUUUGAAGAAUGGUUGAUUCAGUUAGACCAUACAAGUAGAGUGAGAUUGAAUUAAUGGAACUUUUUAAUUUCUUUUGGUACCAACCCUGAAGUCACCUUCUUUGAACAUUUCUGCAGUGUGUGGUGUAGGCACCAGAUACAAGGUAAGAGUGAACUAUAUGGGUUCUAAUGCUUUCAACUGGCUUUUCUGACAAAUGAAAAGUAUUGCCUUUGCGUGUCUGCAUGCAUGUGCAUUGUGUGAGUGUUUAUGGUUAUAAAAAGCUCAUCAUGGCAUCUAUGGUUCUUGAUAUAGGUUUGAUUCUAGGAAUAGACCUGCAUUUUGAGGCUCUCUAACCAAAAUUGAAGUGAUUGUUAAUAAAAGAAAGGAAGAAGGAUCAAGUAUCUUGCAGAAAGUUACUUCUCUUAAAAGUUUCCAGCAUAGCUGAUCUUAAACAGAAACAGGUGUUCACAUCUGUAUGUAUCUCUGAAUUUAAUUAUUUGGAUAGUAAGAAAGUAGAUAAAUGGGGCAAAGAAGUAAUUUACCGAACAAAUGCACUCUUUGAUGGAGCACCAAGCACCAAAUUCUCAACGAAGUUUGCCCUGACAUAGUCACAUAUGCCUUUUGCUAUGUCCAAAUCCUCAAUCAUGACUUCAUUAACUCGUAUCUGUUGCAAGAUAACUAGUCAAAUUCUAAAAGCUUGCUACCUAAACAUAAAAAGGAAAUUUAUGUUGAUCAGGUAAAGGCAUCCAAGAGGGGUUUUGGGUUUAAAGAAUGGACUGAAAGAUAUCAUAUGUUGAAUCAGGGAACUUAGAUGUGGGUUUUUCAUAAUCUUUUUAAUCGAUGAUUCUUGAGAAUGAAUGGUUAACUUUCUCUCUUGGACACUUUUUGGGUUCAAUUACUAGGUCUUUUCUAAACUUAUGUAGGUAUUCUAUGAUUUACUUCUUUUUUUGCAGUACAUGAUGAAAUCCUAUUCUUUCUUUCUUUUCACUUCUUGUAGCAAGUCAAGAAAAGAAAUAAGUAACCAGCAUAAUUCAGAACUUCAAAAUAUAUAGCAGAUCUUACAUCCUUGCGAGUGCAGAAGCAGCGGAAGGGAAGGAACAACUCCUUGGAUUGGCCAUCAGCAUCUUUAUAUGAUCUUUGAAUGCUAUCAUUAGCAUCAGCAAGAGCAAUGUGGCUCACCACUGCAACAAUGAUAAAAAUUUUGGAAUUCCUAAUGAGAUUUUCCAAGAUGAAUAUCGAAAAAUCUUACAACAUACAAGCAUGAAACGUAUGCUUGCAUAUUCGUCCAGUAUCUGUAAACCCCCGAGCAGAAACUGUUACCAUGCUGCAGACAUUAUUAAUACAUGCAGAGCAGGUAUCUUUGAGUUUUAAGCAUUGUGUCCAACAGCAUAGUUUGGACUGCAUGAUUAUCAGUCAGAAUUAAAUGUUGAGAAUUGCUUGUUUUCUUUGGAGUAUUGACCAUAAGCUUAACUUUCUCGAGCUAUUUGCCUUAUUCUUACAUUGUUUCUCUGCAGUUUCACAAAUUUGUUUGAAACUGAUACUGUAUUGUACUUUUAUGCAGUUAGGAUUGCAGCCUUACGAGAUGAUGCAUUCUCACAAUAUGGACGUGAAAAGCUGGCAUAACAAAACAAUGAUGGACUGAUGGGUAGGUAUUUGUAUAGAGAUUCUAUUUCGAAUAAGUCCAUGCAUUGAGAAUUCAAGCACAUACAGAUACCAGAAUAAUUGUUUCAAAUGUUAUUGUGCAAACAAAAUCAGCAUCAGGGCAUUCGUUAUAGAAAGACUAAUAUGCAUUUUCAAUUAUUAGACACAUAAAUCAGGACUUUGACUGUAAGCAUCUAAUUAAUGCUGAAUUACAAACACCAAUAUGGAACACAAUAUGAAGAGUAGAAGAUAAAAAGAGAGAAUUACAUGAAGCAGAGGAAGGUUGUUUUUGUUUGACAUGAAUCAAUGUAACAUAUUUGCCUUUUCCCACAAGAUUAUCAACAGCCCAUUUCAAAGCAUAUUGGCUUCCUUUGUCUUUAUCUAUGGCCACGCAUACCAUUUCAGCAUUUCCUCUAGGAAUUGGCAUUUUGGUUCUGUAGCUAGGAUCAAUUCGAACACACCCAAACCCUUUGAGUUUUAUAAGAAUUCUUGCUUUUAUGCUUUUCUCAAAUGAGUUUCUAGACUUUCCUCUCCUUGUUUCUUGCAUUACCGAAGGCUAAACCAUUUGAAAAACCUCUUUUUAUAUCUUGGAGAGGCUCCAAGUGAUUUGGAAAUCUUAGACUCCUUUUUGACUCCCAAAGUCUCCUAGAUGACAAGAGAUAAUUCAAAGUAUUUAGUUUUGCUUCUGGUAUUCUUUUUUCUUUUUGAGAGAUGACAGCAAAGACAUUUGAAAGUCAUCCUACAUUCCAGGGAUUUCUCAUUCCUAUCCCCCCUUGAAGCGGUUGACCAGGGAAUGGUAGAUGAUCCACCCCAUAUUUCAGAAAAAAGAAAAGAAAAGAAAGACAAGUAGUAGUGAAAAGACCAGUUCUGCAGAGUUUUCUUUGCCUGGUCCAAGACCAAGCGUUGUAAAAGACAGACAAAGAUUGCAACAUUUUCUGAAGGACACAAGACAGGCAAGAUGCCUAACUAAUUGCCUAUUUUCAGAGGGAAAAAGGUUUCACCCUUGUCCUGGAAAAAUAGCCAACUAAUUUACUUAUCUCAGAAAGGAAAUACAACUAAUUUUUUCUCCAAUUUUCUUGCUAUACGACCCCCCUCUAGGUCCAAACAUGCUUUGUCUUUCCCUUCAAGGAAGCUUGAUGUUCAUUUCACACAGAAAAGGCAAAAUACCAUGGUAGGAGGAUGAACUCAAUUAACUACUUAUUUAUUUCAAGGGAUCAAAAUAAAUGAUCCAAGUUUGGAAACCUCAUCAUCAUAAAAAAAAAGAAAAAGAAAAAAAGAGUAUGGAAACCUAAACUAAUCAAUGCCAAAACUAGAAAAUUCAUGUGUCAGAAUUUUUCAUGAUCUUUUUUUUUUUAAAUUCUUUUUAGCGCUGUCAAAAUGUUAGCUCUACUACUUUGUAAUUUACUUGAUAAGUGGAUAUUCAUAGUUUGCCUCUGAUUAUAUGCUAGUGUAAUUGUGGUGUUUGUAGGAACUAAUGCAUCUUCGAUCUUUUCAUUUGCGUUUUGGCAUUAUAUCAAAUGAUAAAAGUACUAGAACAUUUCUUUGUGGCCAAGAUAGAUUUGUUCAAUGAGACAAAUCUGAUAUAACUGUCAUUCCCAUCCUUUCCAAUUUUCACAUUUUUGAUAAUUUCUUACUGCAAACUUUAAGUACUAUGGCAUGGUUAAAAAAAUAUAUAGAUUAAGAAAGUGGUUCCUUCUUAAACAUAGGCAGUCCUUUGAUCAACAUAGAGAAAAAUGUAUAAUCUCAUUUUAUUUUAGAAAAUGGAAUGUGACUAGAUUUAGACUUUUUUUUUUCUUUAGCUUAUUGAAAAGGGAAAAGCAGAAAAUUUGAUGCAUAUGCUGCACUUUUUCCUUUCUUUAUCUUUUUUUUUUUUUUUUUGGUUUUUCGUGCAAUAAAUUGGCUACAUUAAGAAAAUGUAAGAAAAUCAUGCUCAAUUAGCCAAAAAUUGUAUACAGCAAUAAGCCAAAACUUUAGAAAGAUAAAUAUGCAUAACUUGUCAUGAUACAACAAGUGUACAGAACAAAAAGAAUGUCAGCUUCUUGUUAACAAAUUACUCUAUGAUUAUCAACGAACUGGAGCUAGAUUGGAAAUGCUAGCAACUCUAGAAUAUACAAACCCUCAAAAUCUUGUUCAUUGGCAUGCAUUAAUCUGUUAACGAUUGCUCUAAGAUAAAUCCCAUUUUAUCAAGAAGCUUACAGUAUAUUGAAAACGGUACUAGACUAUAUACAUCAUGACAAGAACUAAUGCACUUUCCUGCCCAUUUUUCCAUUCUGAAAAAGGCCUUCCAAUUGAACUUCACCUUAAUGUAUAUUCUUCUUGUUAACAUCAUUGCCUUGUGAAGCCAAACCUUCCAUUCCCACUGUACCUCGAAAAAUCAUCCGAUUUGUGUCCAAGACUUCCUUUGUAUGACAGAAAAAGCUUUCCCACUUAACCAUUCAUUGGAACAUUAAUGAAGUCCUCAGAUAACCCCCUUGAUGAGCGCAUGUCUGUUUCACUGGUAUAUGAAGAGUGGAAAUCAUCAACAUCAUCUCUUUCCUUUAUCUCUUCAAUCCUGUCGACUGCCUCCUUAAUGUCCCAUCUCUUGUCAAUUUCAGGCUCACAAAGAGUCAGUGCUAUCUUUAGUAGCUUCAUCAUUUCACCUUCACAGUGCUUAGUUCCUUGCAUAUCUUUGUCAAAAACCUCAACGGUCCACUCAUCCUUGACAACAGAAUGCACCCAAGUCGCCAAAUCGGUGUCACUUCCCUUACCUUGUUGCAAGAAGUUUGAUGGAAAUUUUCCUGUGAGAAGUUCAAGUAUCAAUACACCCAAGCUCCAGACAUCAGUUUUCUUGGUGAUGCGGCCAUUUUGCUUGAAUUCAGGUGACUUGUAGGCUAUCAUUUGGUCCCGUGCUUGUUCCAAGUUGACUACUGGAAGUAGUCCGUAGUCGGUGAGCAAUGGCUCAUUGUUUUCGUUAAGAAUAACAUUGGAGGAUUUGAGGUGACCGUGGGGUGCGAUCAGGCUCGGGAGCGAAUUGUAGAGAUACAGAAGGCCUUUAGAUACACCUUUGACAAUCUUCAAUCUGGUAGGCCAAUCAGGGCUUGACAGACCACGAGAUUUGUUACCUGGAAAUACAAGUUUCUGCUGUUUAGACCUCAGCACACGGGUGGCUUGAUUUCCUUUUUUUAUUUUUUGGUUCUUCAGAAAUUACUUACAUUAAUAUCUAUUACUCCUCCCCGACUGAGGAAUUCAAAGUUAGGAAGGCAAAAUUGUUAUGCAUAUUUUUGGUCAUUGAUGGAACAGAAAAGGUAAAAACCACUUCUCAGGAAAGUAUUUUAGAUCCAACCAAAGAAGUCUAAUAUAGGGAGAAAUAAGUGAUCAACUAUGGCUAAAAACUGCAGAGAAAAGCAAUCUUCAUACUCAGAACUAAUAAAAGUUGCAUCAUGCAUAGUAAAUUUGAAUUAUGCAUACUUACCAUGAAGUUGAACAGCCAGGCUGACAUUUUCAACAUAGGUAGAAACUAUAAGUUUCUCCUCUUUCCUAUAGUAGAAGGCCACAAGUGGAAGCACAUUCGGAUGACUCAAUCUGCCUAACCUUCUCAUGUGCUCAUGGAAUUCUUCUUUGCCAACAUUGUUCAUUUGCCUAUACCUCUUCACAACCAUCACUGGUCCUGUAUUAAGGGCAGCUUUAUAGGUAGAUCCAAACAUUCCACUCCCUAAUACCUCAGCAGAGGCUUUGAGUAGAUCAGACAUGUCGAAUUUUCCAACAUCAUCCCUCAAGAAUGAAAGCUUGAUAUUCUGAUCACUCUUCUUGCCUUCUGAACCGCGAUCUGGUGACAUCCCUUUUUCCAAUCUGUCCAAAUCUUCAGAGGGAGGUUUGUUGUGACCUUGUGGAGCUGCUGCAGCUGCUGGUGCAUCUCCCAGUUGAGGUGCUUUCUUGCGCCGGCUGAGGAUGAUUAUAACUGCAACAAUUGCUCCCAAAGCUACCACAACAGCUAUUGCAACAAGUACUAUAGUUACAACAGAUAGCUUUCGCUCUGGGGGACUAGGACAUGGUUCCAAUGGUGCACCACAAAGGUCUGAAUUAUCUGUUCAUCAGUAGAAUUUAAUCUCUUGUAAGUUAAUCUGACAAUACCACUUACUGAUGUAUAGAUUUCAUCUUAGGUAUCUCGCGCUAAUCUGUAGAGGCUUUUAUUUCUUAAUGUGAGACAGAAGAAAAAAGUAAAAGACCUAGAAAUCAAGAGGAAAAAAAAUAGAUCAUCAUAGUUAUAUGGUGUGGAAAGAUUUUCAAGAUAAAUAACCAAUUAUAAGCUUAAUAUCAGUUGCCCUGCUGGUAUUAUUUCACUUGGAUAUUUAAAUAUACGUAUAUAGUUCCAUCAUGGGACAAAGCUAUCCACUUGGUCGAAUUGUAGUAAUGCCAUAAACCUUAAGGAUUUAAUUCUUCAUUGUAGUUGUGACAAUGUUUGUAUCCUGUUUUGGGACUUUAUUAUGGUAUUGUCUACCACCAUCGUCAAGUUUUGAACAUCCUUCUGAAAUAGGAGGCGUGACUAUCAUAUUAUAACAUCAUGGUACCAUAUUAAAGACAUAAGAAAUCAUUGGAAAACAGUUGUGCUAUUAAAUAAACAUAAAACAAUUUUUGAGAAAGAGACUCACCAGAAAAUGAAGCUGCUUUGAGGUUGCUCAGGCUGGCAGGAAUUUGACCCCCUAGGUGGUUGUGGGAGAAAUUCACAUUAAUCAAUCCUUCUUGAGUAAAAUCGGGAAUUUGACCUGAAAACUGAUUGCCAUCAAGUGUCAACUCUAUAAGCUUUGGCAAUCUUCCCAAGGAGGAUGGUAUUGGCCCUGAAAGCUGAUUGUUACUCAAAUGAAUCUUCUUAAUUGACAGCAUGCCUACAAAAGCAUCGGCUGGAAUCUCCCCUGAAAAUUUGUUAUUCGACAAAUAAAUUGAUUUCAAGGCACCAAGUUUCUUCAUAUCCGGGAGAGGUCCUUCGAAAUCAUUAUUCAUGAAGCUGAGAGUCCUCAAACUCUUCAGCUGGCUAAGGGCAUCCUCAUUGAUAUCACCCUUCAACCCCAUAUUUUCAAGCUUCAAUCCCCAAACAUUCCCUUUAUCGCAAAGUACACCACUCCAAUUCGGCUGAUCACCCUUGCAUGAGGGUACUUUCGCGUCCCAAUUGGACAAUGCACCAGUAUUUUUCAGGGAAUCCUUGAACUGUAUAAGCAAAUCAGGCUCUGACAAACAGAUGCACGUAUGAACAAGCUGUAGAACAAUGGCUAGUAUGAGAAGACACCAUGAGGACUUGCAAAUCUUAGCCAUGGCGUGAGCAAAAUUGUAUCGUGACGCGCACUUGUGGUGUGCGCGCCCUUAGGGAGGGCUCCUGAGCAAAAGAUUGUCUUCUUUGUGUGCAGAAGGAGCUGGAGAAUGGAAUGAAGGUUGACAUGCAAAAAUGUAUGGGCAUAGGACCGGAAGGCAGGGAGGGGGAGGGAGAGAUAGUUGCCAAGAAUAGUGAAAGGCAGUGAGGAGCCGUGAAAACGCAUGAAUGGACAAAAAUGGAAAGAGGGCAUUUGUUGUUAUCGUUCAUGUUGACUAUGUCCUCUCUUUGCAUGCAUGGUGACAUGGGAGAGCUUUGCAUGAGAAAUUUGCGGUUUGCCUUUGAGCUUUGUUGAUGAAUAAAUUUUAUUCUUCAUUUUGUUCUCCCCCGUGGCUUCCCCCUUUUCAAUGUUAGUUGGGAUCAGAUUCACAGAUUUGUACAUAAUUUUCUGCAGUUCAAAGACUAACAUACCUUUAUUCUCCAACCAAACUACUAUUUCAAAUUGAAUUAUCUCAUAAAACUUAAAAAAGAAAAAAAAAUCAGAUGCAUAUAGUAAUGCAAAUAUCAUGUAAUUAGUAAGUCUUAAAUGGUCUUUGUUUGUUACUUUGUGUGCUGGUCUAGUAUUUGCCGGUGCCGUUGCUAAAUCGGCACAAUUUCCCCUUCAUGUAUGGUUACCUGAUGCCAUGGAAGGGCCCACUCCUAUUUCUGCUCUUAUACACGCUGCUACUAUGUUAAAUAAACAUAAAGUAGAAGAACCUAGAUUCCCAUGUGAUUUGCCAAAUACAUCUCAUUAUUGUAUACUCUUUCAUAUAUAUAUAUAUAUAUAGCGCAAGCCAAAUUUCCACCAUUUUCAAGUGUGAUUUCUAUGUUAUGUAUGGUCGUGUCUAAGGGCAUAUCGGUUGAAGUAGAUUCUUCUUUUUGAUCAAUCAAAGGAUCGGAAUCUUGGAGAAUACUUCUUGAUCAUUUCUACCAACUUAAAGCCCCAAUUUGAAUGAGUAGAGGGCUAUAAGAAUAAAAAAGUUAGCUAGGAGUGAGGUAGCACAUAAUUUUUUUCAAGGUUCCUGAUAUCUGCUUUAUCGAAAGUCACACUUAGAUAUACUUACUGAGAAACUAACCAGUGUGCUGAUAGAUUGACGAAACUGGGUGCUCAGCAAGAUACGAAUUUUGUAUGCUAUGAAAGUGUCCAAAAAUUUACUUCCCUCACUUUGUACCUGUAACUCGAGUUUUUUCAAUAUAUAAUUCCUUUUAUUACAAGAAAAAAAAAACAUAAUUUUUUUAAAAAAUUUAUUGAGAGCAUCAAAAUUUUCUUUUUUUUUUUUUCUCUUAUAGAACACCAAAUUAGAGGGGUUACUUGUAAGAAGCAGCAAUAAAUUGAACCUUUUGGUCUCUUUCCUUGAUGGUUUGCUUCAAUAUACUUUCUAAAUUGCUUCGCAUGAAUUAUUGCAUGCUUCAUACUUCCAAAUGAGAACAAGAAAGAUGGCUUUGGCAUACGUAUUUGAGAUGCCAGGCUUGGCAAAGACACUUUGAAUUGCUGCCUAGACGAAUAAUAUUAAGAUUUACAUAUGACCUGUUUGCAUUUGCCCAUGUCUCUCCAUUCUACUAUUUUUGUUGCUUUUUCCUGAUAUUAUAAUACAUUUCUGCAACAGAGUAAGCACACAAUAACAGAGGCUUUCAAUUAAAGUACGUAGCACUAAAGAAGUGAAAAACAAAUAAUUAAAAUUGAGGCAAAUAGUUACAAUCAUUAUUCAUUACAACAUAUUUGUACUCAUGCAAACCUCAAAUCAAUGUGUUUUCAUAUAUAGGGCAAGUUUUGGCUAACUUGGGUUACAGUUGCUUCUUUUUGUUGGUAGCUCCAUUUGUGAGAACAAAAAGUUUUGGCUGAAGUUGAAAUGAGGACCAUAAGAUUGACCAUCUUGAUUUGCCAAUUAGCUGGAAGAGGAUACCUUCCACAGUCCACUCUUUUUCUCUUCCUUGCUUUUACACCUCUCCUAUGAUUGCCUUCCAAAUAUCCUCUUCUCCCAAAUUUACAAAUGAAGAGAUGAAGAAUGGAGUCUUUGUAGUAAUGGUCACAACAAGACCUUAAGAUAUGAAACAAAUCUUUUUAUCAAAAUCUGUAUACCCAACAUCAACAAGGCAAAGGCCAUCUGGAGGCGAUGGUGGAGCAGUUGCUCGCCUGCAUGUGGCAUCCAUCAGUUUCAGUAGUGCAUCCUCUUCAGCACCAGCGGCAGCCUCUCUCACCGCUGUAGCAACAAGAACUCGCACCAUCUGCAAAUCAAUGCAAAGGCCACCAUUGAUCAAUUAUAAGAAUCUCACAAAGACUGAAAGCCCCAAAGACAAUUCAAAUAGGCCAGCUAUAAGAGCUUUGUGUCCAGGAUGGCCAAGAUUCACACUAGCUUUGCUAGUCAACGAAUAUAUCAGCUCAUGAAUGGAAAACCGCAGAGCAGCUUGGCGCCAAUGGGACUAAAGAUUGGUGAAUUCUCUCCUAAAAGAUAUGGUGUAUAUAAAUCCUUUAACUUCAUAUCUAAAGUAUACGAUCACCAAUAAUAUCCAUCAAGAAGAAUUUACUGUCACUUGUAGGAAAAGCUAAAACCAUAUUCGGAUACACAACUAAUAGCUUUUUUUUCCUACAAAAAACCAUGCAGGCAGGUAAUCCAAAUAUUUUGAAAUUACUUAGAUAUUAAGGAGUGUGAAAUCUUCAAGAAAAGGUUCUAAAACAGCAACAUUAGUUUAACUCAUUUGGAGACCAAAAGUUUAUUACAUACAUAAAACAGUAUCAAGUGAGAGUACUUCCUCAGACAAGAUUUCGAAAAGAUAGGAGUAAAAAAGCAACUACCUUGCGCAAGAAGCGAUUAGCAACCAACUCUAUGCACAUGAUCUUCGUUUCACUUCCAGCCUUGAGUUUUGGGGAGAGACAGAGGAAGAAGAAGAAGAAGAAGCAGCAGCAAAACAAACUAAAUCAAUAGUGUAAAAUUUAUGGAAUAUCUCAAAAUCCCAAUAGUUAUAAGCCAACUUGCCACGCAAUUGCAUGCUCAAUGGUAGGUGUAAAGACCAAAAGAAUAACUAAUAAAGAUUCACAUUCCAAUCAUCACAGUGUCUUUUACAUAGUCAGUACAUAAAUCCUUCAGCAGCAACAUAUAGAUUCAGAUUGCUCAAUCACACAAUCAUAAGCCAUCAGGAAAAAUAGCAACUGUAAUUAACUAGUCUCCAUGUUGCUCGAACUAUCUCUCAGUUGUUUAGAAUGUUGCCAAAAAGCUUUACCUAGAUAUAUAGAAUAGGCAUGUGUACAGGGGUAGUAGAAAAGAAAUGUGGUAGCAUCUACAAGGUACGCAAUACACAACUAUACAUCCUAACCAGGGUAAAGAAUGCAGAACAAUCAGAAGCUGGAGUUCUCAAAAUAAAAUGCACAACAGCAAACCUACAAUAGGGGAUUGCACUCUAAAUUGCCGUAUUAGGGUGUCCUAGGGUUUGUUGAAAUGAAUAUCAUUUUGUAAAGUAUAAAAGGUGGGUAAAUUAGUUCUCAGUUUUAUAAUUGUCAAUCCGUCAGUUUCCUCACGUUUUACUUAGAUGAGGCACUGUAAGACCUACCGUCUUAACUUCUCCAUCUGCUGACUAGGCAUCAUCCUUGAGCAUAUUUCAUGUUUUGAAAAACGUCCCAGAAGUCAAUAAACACCUUAUGCCACACUCCAAAUACCACUUUAUUGGUAUUCGUUGGACUAUUCAAAUGGUUAUAAUAAUGAACCACUGAAUGCAACCUCAAGUAUGUACCAACUGUGAACCUCCCAUAUUCAUCUUGCUCAAGUUCAUCACGAGUUUUACAUAUCUACCUAUUGAUUGAUAGAUUGUUCAAUUAUCCUGAACAUACAUACGUUCAUUGGUUUCUCAAAAAACAUAACAUGCAACCAAGUUUACAAAAAUGGACUUCAUUACCUUAAAUGGAAUAAAAAUUGUGAUGGAGAGUUUAGAAUGAUGAUAGAACAAGUGAACAGAGGUUAAUUUGCUGACCUGUGUACAUGGUAAGAUUGCUUCCGUCGCUCGGGCAUGGAAGACAAAACACUCAGUUGGGGGACCACUGCAAUGUCAAUAGAAGACAGGCAAAGGGAGAUUAAGAAGCUGCUACACCAUAUGUCAGAUUGCAUAAAAACUAGUUCCCCCACAUAAAGUAAGGACAAACUUCAUAACUGCCUUGAAUCUUGAUUCAAAACCUAGUAGAGAGAAACUCUGUAACAGUAAAUUUGAAUUGUUAUUGUUUACUCUAAAGAUCAAAAUCCACUUGAAUGCAGGUGAUACAUUACUGUUUGAUAUAAAUGGGUAUAUACAUAAAGAUAAGCACAAGCCAAAGCUCUAUGAUAAAAUGCUUUCAGGGGGGGGGGGGUAAAUUUUCCAUCUAACAAUGCUCAGAAUGAAAGCAACCUAAAUCAAGCAUCAGCUGGAAUUUAUUAGUUCUAAAAAAUGUACAAGUAAAGAUCUUAGGUCUUAAUCACUUAUACUACAGCCACCAAAACAUCUAAUUAGCCAAAAAAAUUGACAAAGAAAGAGCAAAGUUUACUGGCUUCACAUUGCCUAGAUAACAGCUAGCAACAAAAGAAUAGAAGAAUGAAAAAGCAGAUGGCAUACAACUUGUUGGGUGAAAAAUGACAUUCUAUAUCCCUGUAGUAGCAACUUCUAAUUUGAAUCACAUCAUAUCCAGAAACUAUGAACCUUAUGAGGCCUGUCAAAUCGAAAAUGUUAUUUUCACAAUCAUGCAAAUCAAAAUUUGAACCCACAAACACAUUUGUAGAUGUAGUUCUUCAAAUGUAAAAAGAAUAUGAUUAUGAACACACAAUUUUCAAAAGAAUUAUGUGUCAGCAAUUGAAAAUUAGGGACAGGGAUUCAAACAGUCUAUCUAAAAAACAAAUAAUUGCACCAAACCAAUGGGAAAUUUUUGGAUCUAUAAGGAGUUGAUGGGGACAAAAUGACACAAGAGAGAUGAUCAAUUGUAACUUUCGGCAUAUACUUAUUUUCCUUUUCUUUGGGGGUUCUUUGUUUUGUUUGUUUUUUUGGGUUGUGGUGGGGGGGGGGGAGAGGGUUGGGGAUGAGGAUGUAAGAUGAUGUUGCAUCCUAAACUAGCCAAAAUAUAGGCCUUUUAAGAACCAACAGAUGCAUCUCCCAGGAAGACUAUUCAGAAUUACAGCUCACUGCUUGCCCAAAACCAAAAUUGAACAAGUUAUACUGAUACCCAGUAUCUUCUAUGUGAGUAUGUGAAUAUCGUUAAAGUUGCAAAAAUGAAGCCAGCAAUAACCAACAUAGCUCUGCAAGGGGAUCAGCCAAUCUCAGCAUCUCUUAUUAACGAACUGCCACUUAGGACUUCUGUGUUGGCAGUGAGCUCCAAGCUAAGAACGAAAAUUCAACUAUUUCAGAAUACUUCAGUUCAGAUGGCAACAUCUACACAACAACUGCCAAUCUGAUUCAGCCAAAUAUGCUUUGACUUUGCAGCAUAGAUGAUAUACCAAGUCCAAUUGGCAUACAGCACUGAUUAACAAAAAAUUCAUGAACCAAACAACAGAGGACUACAGUUCUGACUUACACGUUCCUUGAGGCUUUAGUGUCUCGCGCAAACAUCUUGUAGGACAGCAACUUACCUUCUAAUUGACUUAAGAGUUGGUUAACCUUGCUGACUUCAAACCUUGUAGGCUUAUUUCCAGCUUCGAUUUGAUCCUUGUAAUCAUGAAGUCCAUUAUCUAAUGUAAAGGUAUAAUCAUGUUCAUUCAAAUCCUUCUCAACCUGACUGCUGAGCUCAGCUUCUUUUCCAUCAUUGAAGGGAAAGACAUACAAGUAGCGCCUCCAUUUGGCCGAGAAAUUUGGAUGAAAUUCACGUGAUACCUUUGACAAGUAGCUCCUCAUCAGUAUCUUUUUUUUCUUACAAUAUGAUGAAGAAAAUUCUAUUUAUUUUUCCCAAUCAUUGGCUGUUUGAAAAAAUUAUCUCGCAACUUAAAAUGUAGUUGUUAAAAAUAUCCCUUUAACUAUUCAGAACUGUUAAUUGUUAAAAAAUCUUUAACGAUUCAGCACUGUUAAUUAACUUUCUGAAUUAUCCGAUAAUCCAAUCAUCACUGAUAUAUAAUGACCAGUACGGCAUUACCUCAGUAACAGAAAUAGCAUUGAUCUUCCCUGGUGCUGCAUCAUUAAUGGUGCUUUUAAUGUCUUGAGGUUUCACAUCCUUUCGCCAAGUAUCUGGACAUUGAAGAACAUAGAGAAUGAGAUCCUAAUAUUCUACUAUACAUUAACCGUUGAGGUAAGAAGCAAAUAAUUAAAGGGAGAUAAAAUUAAUAUUUAUUUUGCAUAUAAGUAUAAAUGCAGAUGUCUGUGUUCGUCUUUGGGUGUAUGUACAAGCAGACAAUGAGAAACAUAAGGCUAUAGCUUGUAGCCACCAAAAUGAACAAAUCCAAACUUUCUACUUUCAGAAAUUUUAUCAUGUAGAAAAAACAAAAACCCAGCUUACUGUAUGAUCCAAAUAGACUCUUGGACACAAAUAAUCAAGCCAAGAAUACACAUACAGAGAGGCCAUUCAGAAGCUUGAUUGCUUAUCAAACAAACAUAUAGAUAGGAUUAAUUCACUACAUUGCAUCUAACUUCAUCAAAAACUUUUUUCCUCUAUAAGGGAUUGAUUUAAAAUUUUCAUGCAACACAAUUAACAGAAGGAAAAAGAGAGUUAAUAACUAUCCCUGAUUUUUUUAAAAUUACCAUUCUCAAGAAUUAUAUUUUAUAUACACAAACUCUCAUCUCUGCUUUCUGAUACUGCAAGAAACGCCAAAACCUAACAUCACUGAUCAACUUUGACAACGAAUUGCGACUUCUUUGAAUAUUUUUAGAAGCAAGCAUGUGAUUUCUUCGCAGUUUUGUCUUUCUUCAAUGUCAAAACCAUAAAAAAAAUGGUAGCAGACAAAACUUCCUUCUCUUUUUCAAAUAGAAGAGGUGGUAUCCUGUAUUCUUACUCUCUUCUCUAUCUCUUUCAAUCUGGGAGUGGUAGGGAAAGAGGGAAGUCUUAUUAUGUUGUUAAUUACUCUUUUUUUUUUUUCCAUGUAAAACUUUUAGGCAGAAAUUUUCCACCGAGAAAUGUUUUAAGUUCCAAGUGACAGAGGUAUAAUGAGGUAUAACAUCCAAAAACAAUGUAACAAACAUGAUCACUAUUCUUGGAUUCCAAAUGUUUUUUCUCUCCACAUGGAAAGCUUUUUAUUUUAGUAAUUCAACAUCAUAUGUGAGCAGGAAGUGUCCCAAAAGCUUUGAUCCUCACUACCAAUACUAAAGAUUCUAUGCACGCGUGGACCUAAUCAAAACAAUCCAUCCCAAAUUUAAAGGGCUAUGUUAGAGUGUUUAAAUAAUAAAAGAUUCACCUCUCUAAUGGCUCAAGCUCAACAAGUAGAGAAUUCAAAAUCCAGGUAUCUAGCUCCCAUACACUUUAUAGAAUUAUACUUAUUUAUCUCUUAUAAGACUCAACAAACAACAUAAAAAAACUAAAAUACAAGGGAAUAACUAAUUAGCUGGAACUAUUGAAUAAGGUCAGACUGUUCUUUCACUCCAUAUACCAUGAGAAAAAACUAUUUUUGUUCUCAAAGUUUAGAGAAAUACAAAUAUGCCUGAUAUGGCUCACCUGCUAGAUGCAUUUAAUUAUUCAAACAACAAUCAAUAAGCCAACAUCAACAAGGUCACUCCUCUAAAAUGCAAAAUUGAUCAAAAACACAGGGAAGUCAAAAGGUAAGCCUCUUCAACAGAAGUAAAUUUAUCAGGGAAAAAAUAAGAGAGAUUUGACAGAAGUGCAAAGAAAAAAUUAUACCACAACAUGGACAGAGGGAAUUGUGUUCUGAAAGAGGACAUACAGAAAGAACAAACUUGUUGAAAUGCUGUAACUCCCUUGUCAGUGCGCCCAGCUACUACAACACAGCCUUCAAUUGGUAAGUUCUUUUCAUUUAGCAGCUGAGUUUUCUUCUCGUCGACAAACUUUCCAAGAGAUCUUUCAACUAUACUAUAGAUAGCAGAGCUCAGAAAUUACCAAACCAACAAAGAUAAAAAUAGCAGAGAUCAAGACAUGUAAAAUAGCAACAUAUCACCCUGAAUAAUUAAUAGAUAAGAUGUUGAAUAAAAAAACCAUUUGUAUGUAACCAGUAAAACAAGAUGAUGAUGGCGAGAAAUAUGUGUCUCUCUGUAUGAGAGAGAGAGAGAGAGGGGGGGGGGAGGGAGGUUAUCCACUAUGAGAUCUCAAAUACAAGGAUUUAGUUCAUCCACAUUCAUUGGCAACUUCAAGUCUUCAACCAGAUACGUAGAUCAAGAGAAGUGUGUUACUAUUUGUCUAUGUUUCUACUUAUCCUAGCUGGACAGAGCUUGAAGAUUUCCUACUCCCUUCAGUGUUCUUCUUGUGUUUUAUCAGCUACCCAUGUUGGCUAGACACAUUUUGAGGGGGUGUAUCAGACAAGAACUCAGUAGCCAUGUCAUCAGCCAUCAAAAGAAAGGCCGUAGCAUUGGAAUGCAUAACAGUCCACAAACUAGCUCUUACACAUUUAAAGCGAGCAAUAAUAUCAAAAGGUAAGAAUUUAAUGUCGCCAAAUGAAGGGACAUCUGCCAUGUCUAUGGAGCACUUCCACCUAGUCACUAAUCAUGUAGCAGAUGUAUAAUCAGCAAUGUGGAAUUGUAACACAAAAAUCAGAAGCCAUUGCAAGAAACAUACCCUUGUACAGUAUUCAAACCAGGUUGCUUCUGCCAGCCUUGAAACGAACCCCCGUGGUAUGAAAGGAGUACCUUGAAAGUUACUCUUGCCCACCUCCCAGUCCUAUCUUUUGCUGGAGCACUAUCAAUGUCAUUUUCAUGGAUAUCCUCUAUGAUUUCAGUAUCAUCAUGCACAGCACAUGUCUGCAGCAACUACAAGAAUUUCUUUUUAAUAAGUACAACAGAGCAAUACAAGGGGUAAAGUAGACAAAUAUUUAAGGCACCAUAAUAUCUAAAGCCUACCAAAAACCUUGCAGUUCUGAAAAUUAAAUCAAUCAUCUAGAAACUAAAAAGCCUGAUAACCUCUUAAAUAGAAAUCAGAUAGCUGACUGCAGUUGUUAUGCCCGCUAUCAAUGGGCAAGUGUGUAAAUGGGAUUGGUGUCUUGUUAAGAAUAGAAGUUCUGUAAUUUAUUUAACCCUUUCCCAUAGGUUAAGGACAGGGGUGUCUAGUUUGGGAAAUGUUGGCUCUCCUGACAUCCACCUUGUUUCAGAGGAGAAGUAGUCAUUUAGUCUUCCCUCUUUUUUCAUUCUAACCCUCCAGGAUAAUAAGGUGAUAUAGUUGAGUGAGACAAUUACUUCAAGGCAUCAGGACUAAGCCCAUGACUUUUUCACUUUAAUGACAUAACUAGCAAAAAGUAAAUGUACCAAAACAAUCAAAAACUGCAACACCAAGAACAUGAUUGGUCUCAAGAGAAGGUUAAAUAACAUAAGUUACCUUAAAGUUUUAACAGCCAUAAAAUACUUUAACAAGAUUUUAUGAGGGAUGCAAAAACUGCUAAGAAACCUAAACCAAGUCGAUAUCAG